Molecule: long non-coding RNA, 74677 nt
Filed under: Coffea arabica (coffee)
Lineage: Eukaryota; Viridiplantae; Streptophyta; Magnoliopsida; Gentianales; Rubiaceae
Description: long non-coding RNA (CARA_LNC001153)
Source: RNAcentral
CCUACAAUAUGAAUUACCAGAUACUACUAUGCUUGAUACUCUUCUCCCUAGUCCUUCUCCUGCCACUGCCAUCCCAUUCUGCUGAUCCAAGCCCAUUGCAAGAUUUCUGCGUUGCAGAUCUUGAUUCCUCUUUAUACAUUAAUGGCUUUCCGUGCAAAAACCCUGAUAACGUAUCUUCACAAGACUUCUUCGCCAAUGGGUUCCAACAAAGUCCAGGAGAAUUCAAUAUUUUUGACGUCAAUGUCACUCGCCAAGAUGUUCAGCGAUUUCCAGGACUCAACACUCUAGGGCUGUCAAUGAACCGAGUGGUUUUGAAGCCUGGAGGGCUGAAUGCACCCCACGUCCACCCUCGUGCAGCCGAGCUGGCUCUAGUCAUGGAUGGAAAACUGUUUGUAGGCUUUGUGACAACCGGAAACGUUUUCUACUGGAAAAUUGUGACUUCAGGAGAGUUGUUUGUGAUUCCUCCUGGGCUAGUGCACUUCCAACUGAAUAUUGGACACGAGAACGCACGCUUCUUCGCCUCGUUCAACAGUCAAAAUCCAGGGAUUCAGUUCGCCCCCCUUGCUCUUUUUAACUCCACGCCUUCGAUUCCUGAUCUCGUGUUGAGUAAAGCAUUUCAAGUAAAUCAAAGUAUCAUUGAGCUCAUUAAGUCUAGGUUUGCAACUGUGUCGACUGUGUCGACCGUGCUUAAGUCAUCUUACUAACAUCCUAUUCCAGGGUGUUGUUCAUUAUAGUUGGCAUAUUAAAUAAUAAAAUCUUCUAUAUUAUCGUUUAAUUGUAUUUUGGUCAAGUUAAUUUUUAGUAGUUUUAUUGGCGUCAAAUUAGGAUAGUUUUACUAUUUAGAAACUAGUAUUGUAUUAAGUAAUUUCCUAUGCUUGUCAGUAGUCAUGAUAUGUAUUUGGUUGGAAACAAUAAAAGUUUGAGUCUUGUCAUUGAUAUUAGUCCUCUUCAUGUAAAUUAGCCUCCAUAUAUAUAUAUAUAUAUAUAUAUAUAUAUUGGUUUUGCGAAAGUUAUCUCCUAUAAUUUUUUUUUGGGUAUAAUUAUUAGGCUCUACAUCUGGUAUCGAAUCCUAUUUGCAUGAAAUUAAUCUUUGGGUGAGUUGUCAGAGUUAGGACACAAGAAUUGCCGGGACUGUUCAAUUGAUCACGUAAGGCCAUUAUGUUGGUUUUGGAGUAUUUAAUUGGUCAAAAUUAGGCCAUAAAAUUGGUGUGAAAAUUAUUAACUUGAUUGUGGAUAUUGCUAAUGGUGACAGUUUUUGACAUGGUACGUAAACGCGGCACAAAAAAUCCUAAAUGAAACAUGAUACGGAAUAAUUUAUGUCAAAAAUGGAUCCACGCAAACAGAAUGGGUUGUAUUGGGCCAAUCCAUAGGUUGAUAUGACUAACAUGUUUUUGACACGUUAAGAAUUUUGAAAAAAUGCUACUUGCUUCCCUCCUAAUACUGCACUUAAAAUAAAUGGUUUUGUAUUAAAUUUUAUAGUUUAAGAACUAAAAUAAUAUAAUCAACCUCCUAUAAGAAUACAUAAACAACACAUAAAUCGAGACUCUGCAAAUUCACAUAUGCAACUGUUAUGAUUUUAAUUUUUUGCUUCCUUCCUUUAAUAUUCUUAUUUUCUCAAAUUGACAAGCAUAAACAACCUCUAUGAUUUUAACUUUUCACUUCGAAACUUACCUUUAGAUCAAAUAUUGCUCAAUUUUUCUUCCUUUCUUGUGAUUAAAUAUCUUUUCUAGGUAAACUUUAAUAUUUCACAAAUUUUCUAUCAUUUUUGUCUAUUUUAUUUGAACAUUUUCUAGUUUAUACUGCUCCUCUAUUUUAUCAUUUUCCCUAUCAUUUUCUUUCUAAAGUUUUUCUUUCUUGUGAAAGAAAAAAGAAAGAAAAACAAAAUAGGCUUUUUUCUGUAUAUUAUUAAUGAGAUAAUCAUGCAUCCAAAACUUAUACAAGUAAAAAUCCAAUGACAGGCUACAACUAAAUUAGAUUAAGAGAAUAUUACAUAUUUUCUUGAAAGAGAACCAUGUUUUAUUUUUCGGCAAUAUUUCUCCUAUAAUUUUGAUAUAAAAAGUUAAAUGAGUCAAUUGGGUCAAAACAUGAGAUGAACCUGUCCAAAUGUAUGGAGUAUUGCAGCAACAAAUCUUUUUGAAGAUUAAGAAUUCAAAUUUAUAUUAAUGAAAUUUACAAAUGAGAUUAUUAUUGCUGAACUUGAUUCAAUAGAGAGUUUGAUUUAAGGGAAACAAUGUUGGCAUAUUAAAUUAAAGCUAAAAAUUUGAAUUUUCUAUACUAUUAUUUAGUAGUAUUUUGGUCACACAAAUUUUUUUAGUAGUUCUACGAGAGCUAAGAUAUGGUAGUAUAUUUAAGAAUUGGAGGCUCUAGGACAUAGAGGUUCUGGGUUCAAAUCUCCAUUCCUCCUCCCCAUUUCUUAAAUCCUAUCUCUCCCCUUGAUUAGAAAAAGUUAAAAUAAUUAUUUAGAAAUUGGUACUGUAUUAGAUAAUUAUUGUAGCUAUCAAUACUUGUUUAUCAAAUCAUGUAAUCUGUAAGUAGAGUCAUAUUACCAUACCCACUUGAGAAGAUUGGAAGUUUAAUAGCCUUGUUGUUGUGGUGUUAUUAAUAUUUUAUUAUUAAUAUCAUUGUUCUUUUCUCACAUAUACGUGUAUAUGUGUAAAUUAGCCUCCCAUAUAUAUUGGGUUUGUGGAAUUUAUCUCUCAUAAUGAUCUUUUGACUAUAAUUGUCACGCCUCGUGCCUAGAACGUAGCACCACCACACCAUAGACAAUGCUAAAGGCGUAAGGCAACAAAUUUCCAAAGCAACUACAUUUACCUUUAUAUAAACUUUUUAAAUCCACAAAUACAAGAUCAUCUAUAACAGCAAUUUUGUGUCUUCCAAAAUAAAAGCAAGAUCAAACCUUCUACAAUAUGUACAAAAUUCAAAUCCUAUCAUAAGGUCUCUUAUAUAUAAGUACAAAAGUCAUCCUCUAACCCAAAGUCAUCUCCAUCUCCAUUACAACCCCCAAGAGCUAUCAAGGUCUACUUCAAUGAACUCAUCAUUAACUGCAUAAUUAUAACAAAGGGGUGAGCAAAAUCUCACUUAAUAAGUAGUGCAUGUAUCUCAUUAUUUGCCUGAGCAUGUUACAUACAUAAUAUAUAUUUCAAACGUCAUUAACUUACACAUAUAACUUUAUAAGAACAUGGUUACUAUAAACAUUUCAAUGGCAUAUCAUACAUCACACACACAAAGGAGCUCAAACCAUAAGACAACAAUUGACCCAGGAUAUCCAGUUGUUAACUUAAACUUAACCAGUUAACACAUUUCAUAGUGCUAACUACCACAUAGUUAGCCCAUUUCAUAUUGCUCACUACAACAUGGAUAGCUCGUUUCAUAUACCAACUACUUGUGAGGAACUAGUCCUGUCAAAAGUCGCUUAUACAAGAGCUCAACAAACAUAACAUUUCAUUUCACAAAUGACCAUAGCAAGAGUAAUAACAAAUAUCACAAAUUAUACUUGCUCAUGCCAUUUUAGCAAUUAGACAAGUAGCUUUCAAAAUUUAUCAUUCAAAAGAUAAAGGAUACAUGCACCAGUUACCUCGAUCCAAUCGAUACCCACGCUAUUUCAAGUAAUCGGAAAAAUAGCUACCUUCCUCACCUAGACAUAAUGAUAAAAUGUUCAAUUACAAUCUUAAAGAUACCAAACUACUCCAAAUUAUCAUAAAAACGAGCCUAAUACUACCCUUAACCACUAAUUCCUAAUAAAAGAUCAUUUCCUCAUCAAAGUAGGACAUAAGGGUUUACUUUAAAGGGUCACUAACUUCCAAAAAUACAGAAAUAGGUCAAGAGAUUUAUAUAGAGUUAAAGCCCUCUGAAUCUAGUUUCCAACGCAAUAAACGGCACCUAAAUCCGAAUUUUCUACACCAAGUUAUAUCCAAAGCAUUGAAAUAUGUCUAUACAGAAAAUUCAAUCUGUCCGAGAAUUAUAGCCAAUCCAUCCGAGGAUUUUAGCCAAUUCGUUCGAGGAUUAUAGCCAUGGAUUUCUAGCAAGUUUUCAAGGCAAAAACAAGUCAUUCUUUCCCUCAACAUUUCUCCUUUUUAUAUUGAUGAUAGCCCUACAUACCCAUUUGAAAAUGGAGACCAAAACAAACUCCAUACACCAUAGCCAUGGAAGCUAACCAAGGAUUUGAACCAAAUACUACCCAAUCACCCAAUCAAAGAAAACCAAGAUCAUGUUCAAGGUUUCAAGAAAAUACCUUGGUUAGUCGUCAAAGUAGAAUCUCCUAACUCCUCACUCCUUACUUGUGCUUGAUUUGUCAAGAAUCCUCCUUGAUUGUAAGGAAAAAGGAGAGAAAUAAGAAAGGGUUUUGUUGGAGAAGGAAGGAAAAAAGGAAAUGAAGAAGAUGAAGAAAGUUUUUGGUAAAAAUGAAUAGUGAAAUCCCAAUAUCACUUUUAUUCUUUCAAAAUUUCACAUAUUAACACAUUGGUCACUCAACUUAACGUCAUUCACUUUUCACCCCAAAAUAGUAUUUCUUCACACAAAAUUCUCUACAAGACACUUGGGUAUCACAUUCUCCCCCUCUAAUAAAAGUUUUGGCCUCGAAAUUUAACGUACCUCGUUGGUUAAACAAAUGUGAAUACUUAGUUCGCAUUUCCUCUUCGAGUUCCCAAGUAGCUUCACGAGUACUAUGAUUGGACCAUUGAACUUUAACAUAGGGAAUUGUCCUUCUUCUUAGCACUUGAUCUUUACAACCCACAAUUCGAAUUGGCUUCUCACUAUAAGUUUAAUCCUCUCAUACCAUUAAUGGCUCAUACUCCAGGAUAUAACUUGGAUUAAAUACAUAUUUUCUCAAUUGCAAAACAUGAAAUACAUUGUGAACUCUUGAUAAAGAUGGUGGCAAGGCUAACUUGUAUGCCAAUUCUCCAACUCUAUCCAAAAUUUCAAAAAGCCCAACAUAUCUUGCACUCAGUUUUCCACGUUUCCCAAAUUGCAUGACACCCUUCAUUGGUGAAAUUCUAAGAUAUAAUUUAUCCUCUUCUUGAAACUCUAAUGGUCUUCUUUUCAAAUCGGCCCAACUCUUUUGUCUAUCUUGUGCUGUUUUCAACCUUUCUCUCACUAGUGCCAUCUUCUUGAUUGUAGCUUGUACACUUCCUCCCAUAUAGAGCUUCAAAAGCUAGCAUGCCGAUACUACUAUGAUAACUGUCAGUGUAAGAGAACUCACUUAGCACCAGAGAAUCCUCCCAACUGCCCCCAAAAUCCAUAACACAUGCUCUAAGCAUGUCCUCCAAGGUUUGAAUUGUACGCUCUGAUUGCCCGUCAAUUUGAGGAUGAUAAGCUGAGUUGAGGUUUAACUCGGUUCCUGUGGCUUGUUAGAGACUUUUCCAAAAUCGAGAGGUGAAUCUAGGAUACGAUCAGACACAAUACUCACUGGGACACUAUGAUAACGAAUAAUGCAAUCCAUACAGAGAUUAGCCAAAGUAUCCAUAGAUGCAGUAGCAACCAUAGGUACAAAAUGAGCUGAUUUUGUCAGUCGAUCAACUAUUACCCAAAUGGUGUCAUUACCUCUCCUAGACCUUGGUAAUCCAACAAUGAAAUCCAUUGCUAUAUGCUCCCAUUUCCAUUCCGGUAUUGUCAAAGGCUUUAAUAAUCUAGCAGGUCUUUGAUGUUUGGCCUUUAUUUGUUGACAAACUAAGCAUUUAGACACAUAAUUCGCGAUCGCCCUCUUCAUACCACUCCACCAAUACGACUGCUUUAAGUCUCGGUACAUCUCAGUGUUAUUAGGAUGAAUAGAGGCUUGGAAGAGCAAGCCUCCGCCAUUAUUUCUUUUCGUAACUCCGGAUCUUUAGGCACCAUAAGCCGAUUCCACAUCCAUAUACUACCAUCCUUGAGUAGUUGAAAGUCGGGUAAUUCCUCACUUUUAACUUUUUCCUUGAUUUUUGCCAACUCGGUAUCAUCUUCUUGAGUUUCCUUGAUUCUCGAAAUUAAAGAUGGUUAGGCAACUAGAGUUGCGAGCACAUGCAUGAAGGAUUCUACGACCUCUAAAUUCAAUUCCUCCAUUUGUUUGACAGGUGCCGAACCUGUACAAUAAUAAUAAUAAAACCUAACUACCACCAAAAGCAAUCAAUAAUCAAUUCUAAGUACUGGAGCAGGGACUUUAGGUAUGCAAUGAGUUACUUGAUUCACCCUGUUGCUGAAGAGUUUGCUGAAUCCGAUAUACCAAAAUUAAUUAGCUAACUAAAUUUACUAACUAGUAGACAAUGGCAAGCAGGGUCGUCUCCUUAGGGGCUGGAGAGAAAUUUGUUUCUUUUAAGCCAAGACAAACAGAGGGUUUGAAAAUUAGAUGCUAAAGAAUCACUAACUAAACAAAUUAAAUGCAAAAAAUAAUUAAUUGAGAGAAAUAAUUGGAGAAACUCUAGCCAAGGGUGCACUUCAGAAAUGGUUCAUGCAACUGAUCAUCGAUUCAAAUAUAAUUCCAACAAUUAUUAAUAUAUUAGUUAUAGUUGUUAUGCACGCGAUAAACAACCAGCAUUUCCUUAAUUUCUCGAUAGUUAAGGUACAACCGUUAACUAUUUCUCUAACCAAAAAACAACCCUAGGUACGACCGUAGGAUUUAAUUUCUAGUUUGCAUUAAGAUUUAGAAAAGCCCAAUCCUAACUACCAAACACGCUACGAGGGUUUGUUUAAGUUAGAUCGUAUGUUUUCCUGACAUAAACCCAAUUACGCCAGUUGCUACCGAGAUGGAGGUAAUCAAACAAUUACGGAUUCAACUACCCCCAAUUAGCAAAUUAACUACGUGAAUAACUAAAUAUUGCGCACUAUUCAGUCAUACACAAUAGCUAUGACAAUUAAAGGUAGAAAACAUACAAAUACUAAUAAAUGAAGGAAACAGUUAAAACAAUUUAGAUCUCACAGUUAUUGUUGAACCAAAUUUUCAAUUGUCUCCUUGACUAGAAGUGGGUGAUUUGUUCAUCCUCAUUGAGAGUAACUCACGCAAUUCCAUCGAAGGAAAUUGCGUCAAUGUUUGACAAUAGAAGAACUACUCAGAGGAGAAGAGAGCCAAGCGGCUGCCUUCCUCCCCUUUUCUUAUUCCCUGGCCGAGUAGUAAUCACGCGGGAUCCGGCUUUUGUUCUUCCUAUUUUCUAGCUUUCUAAAAACACAUUGAACUUCCUCCCUCACAAUCCGUAGUAAAUGAUUCCAAAAAAAUCUCCUACUAUAGGAAAACUAACUUCCUAAAAGAUAGGUACUCAAGCGCUUAAAAGUCUCCUAAACCAACCCAAUUACUAAUUAGAAACUUGGCAAAUAAUAUCAUCUUCCAAUUAUGAUGACGACUCCCACUUGGAUUAGGAUACUGCCCGGCAUAGAAUCCCGCGCACUCCAGACUUGAUUGAUGUCUUCUCACGCGUCCACACUUUCUUGGAGGAAAAUCUUCUAAAAACUGUUAUUUCUGCACUUUCUUUCUCCAAUUGGCUAAACAUCCCCUAAACAUAAAAUUCAAACAAAAUAUGUCCAUUAAUGCAAUAUCCAAUCCAAUAAGAAAAGGAAAUUAUAAGAAAAUUAAUGCUAAAUUAGCGUUCUAUCAUUGUUUUACUAACAUAACUGCUAUCAUUCCUGAAAUUUUCCUGCUCAAAGCAUCAGCAACCUUGUUUGCUUUUUCUGGAUGAUAACUAAUGGUAAGAUCAUAAUCUUUCAUUAACUCAAGCCAUCUUCGUUGUCUCAUGUUUAGCUCUUUCUGCGUGAACAAAUACUUUACGCUUUUAUGAUCUGUAAAGACUUCACAUUGCUCCCCAUACAAGUAGUGCCUCUAAAUCUUCAAGGCAAAAACAAUGCCUGCCAAUUGCAAAUCAUGUGUAGGAUAGUUGUGUUCAUACCGCUUCAAUUGACAAGAUGCAUAAGCUAUGACCUUCUCAUUUUGCAUUAGCACACAUCCCAACCCAUUUUUGGAUGUAUCGCUAUAAAUAGUGAAACCUCCAGAUCUAGAAGGUAAGGUGAGAACUGGUGCCGAAACAAGCUUAUUCUUUAAUUCUUGAAAACUAUUUUAACAUUUAGGUGUCCACUCAAACUUAACAUGCUUUUGAGUUAAACAACUCAAGGACAAAGCAAUAGUAGAAAGUCCUUCAACAAAAUUUCUAUAGUAGCCAACUAAGCUCAGAAAACUCCUCAAUUCUACCACAUCAGUAGGUCGGGGACAAUCCACAAUAGAUUCUAUCUUCUUAGGAUCCACAAAGACACCAUCUUGAGAAAUAACAUGCCCAAGGAAGGACACACUUUGAAGCCAAAAUUCACAUUUGUUGAGUUUUGUAUAAAGUUUCUCACGCCUCAAGAUUUGUAAAACAUCUCGCAGGUGAUUUUCGUGCUCUGCUUCACUUGGAGAGUACACCAAUAUAUCAUCAAUGAACACCACCACAAAUCGGUCUAAUUGCUUUUUGAAUAUCCUAUUCAUCAAAUCCAUAAAGGCUGCAGGAGCAUUAGUCAACCCUAAAGGCAUGACGAGAAAUUCAUAAUGGCCAUACCUUAUUCUAAAUGCACUCUUUGGAAUAUCUUGCAGUUUAAUCCUUAAUUGAUGGUAUCUGUAAUGAAGAUCGAUUUUUGAAAACACCUUAGCCCUUUUAAAUUGAUCAAACAGGUCGUCAAUACGAGGCAAUGGAUACUUGUUCUUGAUCAUAAUUUUAUUGAGCUCCCAAUAAUCAAUGCACAAUUGCAUACUUCCAUCCUUCUUCUCUACAAAUAAAACUGAUGCACCCCAAGGGGAUACACUUGGUCGAAUCAAUUUCUUGUCAAGCAACUCCUGAACUUGAACUUUAAGCUCCUUCAACUCUGUGGGGGCCAUCCGAUAGGGUGCCUUAGAUAUAGGUUCUAAGUUGAGUAUUACAUUAAUCUCAAAAUCAAUUUCUCUCUUGGGAGGUAGACCUAAUAAGUCAUUUGAAAACACAUCUGAAAAUUCUCUUGCAAUUGGGAUAUCCUCAAGUUUUAUCUCUUUCUUACUAGAGUCUACUAUAUAAGUCAGAAAACAUUCACAUCCCUUCCUAAUUGCUCUCCAAGUUUGUAUGGCAGAUAAAAUGGGUAGAGACUUCUUCUUUGGUUUUCCUCAACACCCUUGAAAAGAUAAAGGUGGAAUGUUUGGGGUUUAAAAAUCAACACUUUUACACAUACAAUCUAUAUGGGCAUAAUUUUGUGAUAGCCAAUCCAUACCUAAGAUAGCAUCAAAUUAUAUUCAAUUACACUAGAUUUGCCUUAAACUCUCUCCCACCUAAAUCUAAAGUACAACCUUCAUACAUAAGGUGAGAAACUAAAACUUUUCCCCCGGGAAUGGCUACACGAUACGGGUCAUCCAAAACACAGGGUUUAAUAUCUAACUCUCAUGCAAACUUCUUUGAAAUGAAAGAAUGGCAAGCCCCACAACCAAAUAACACAUCCGCUGGAAGAGAAUUAAUCAUUUCCAUACUUGUCACAACAUCCUCUACUCCUGCUGCUUCUUGUUCAGUCACCUUAGAGAUUGUGUAAGGUCGAUCUGCACUAGAAUUCAAGCUAUUUCCUAGCCUAUUGUUGCCUCUAGUUUGCUUAGAAUUCGGGCAAUUACUCACUUUAUGCCCCAUUUCUCCACAACUAAAACAAGCUCCCGUUUUCCACCUGCAUUCUCCCGAAUGAACCCGAUGACAAUAAUCACACAACUUAGAUGGGUUAGUAGGUAGAUACCUUGGAAAAGGUUGUUGAGAAGAAUUAGCCUAUUGCGAAACUAUAGGUCUUGGUAACGGUGCUUGUCGGGGAGGUUGCAUUGGUCGAAGAGGUUGCAUUACACGAGAAGGCUAACCAUGUUGACGAAGUUGGCCUUGCAUUACGAUUUAUCUAUUUCUCCUUUGUCUCGUCUCUUCAUCCUCCUGAAGAAUGUCUUGUUCAACAUCUAAACUAGCUUCAUACAUUUGGUCACAAUUGGCAUAGAAAUUUUCAGAUAUUUUUGAUUGAAUCUGACUAUUCAAUCCUCCCUUAAAGGAGACCAUCUUCAUAGUCUCAUCGGCCAUUGUAGAAGGGACGAAGCAUCCCAAGGAGAGAAAAAUAGUGUUACUCACCCACAGACAUGGAACCUUGAUUAAGGUUAUUGAAUAUUCGAAUAUUUUGAACUCGAAUAGCUGGUGGAAAGUAAUGCUGUAGAAACAUCUUUUUGAACUCAUCCCAUGUCAAAGUACAACCUGAAGAAACCAUGGUCAGGGCUACACCAUCCCACCAUUUCUCUGCUUCACCAAGAAAGAUGUCACUACUUGAGGUCGAAUAUCUUCUGGCACCAUCAUAGUUUGGAAUUUGUUCUCAAUUUGGGAUAACUAUCUCUCUGCCACAUUCAAGUUUGGACCUCCAUCAAAAGUAGGCAAAUAGACCUUGCUAAACUCCUUGAAAUGGUACUUAACACUAACCCAUACCUUGCUCUCUUUCUUCUUGUUGUUGUUGUUGAUAUUGCUGCCAUCCAUGCAUGAACUAAUAUGCCACAGAUAAGGUAGUUGGAUCUAAUUUUAUUAUGACACCCAAACUUUUGCAUUUUAGCCCCAUAUGUGGUAAACUAAUUUCAUUAACUCUACCAUGACAUCUUAUCUUUUAUAAUUUAGUCUCGUAUAUGAUAAAUCGAUAUCAUUAAUUCUAUUAUGGCACCCUAUCCUUUGCACUUUAUCCUAUGUUUUUUUCAUUAGCAAAAUGCGGAAGGUAUUGUAAUAAAAAAAUGUAUAUAUAUUUUAUAAUUGAUCCAAAUUUAGUUAAUAACUUGGUAUAAAGUUAAAAAAUAUCAUGGAUUCCCUAUCCAGUUCUCUUGACAACACCUAGAAAAUUAUUGAUUAGCAUAGUAGGAAAACAAUGGCAAAGAAGAAUAAAUUUUAAUAUGAAAUUAAGUAAAGUCUUGACAAUUGGAUGGCUAGAGUUUAUUAUUAAUUACACUAGUCACAUUGUUUAUGGUUUAUGAAUCAGUACUUGUACUAAAUACAUUUAGUGUUUCAUGCAUGUAUUAGCAAACUAUUUUGGUUAUUUGAUCAACUAAACAUAUUGUUAGGUCUUGUCAGACCAUAAUUCGUACAUAAUUGACAAAAUUAUUAAAUUAAAACAAAAAAUAUUUACAUUAAAAGAUUUUUUUUGAAUCAUAAACAUAUUUUUAAUAAGCUUUUUAGUUUUUGAACAUUAUUUUUUUGUAGAGAUAAAAAAACCUAUGUUAGUAAAAAAAAUUAUCAAAAAACACUAAAUUUUCAUAUUCUAAAAUUUUAAUACAACAAAUAAAGUUUUAAUAUAACUUGUGAGCUAACAACUCAAAAUAAUAACCAAUUUUAAUUACACAGAGAUGGGGGAAAAAAGAGAGAUAUUAGAGAAGGCAUUGUUUUUGUAAAGAAAGGUCCAAAUAGUUUGUAUAAAAGUCACUUGAAAGUGUUAUUUUUUGGCUGAAGCUAAAAUGGAAGCGGGAAUUGAAAAUUGAAAGAGUAGAGGCGGGUGAACAAAAGAAGCAGAAACGACGUCAUUUUAGCAAGAGUUAAACAAAAACACUCAUAACACUUAGAAAAAUUUCGGACAAAACUUGCUUUCCCCCUUCUUGCCAACUUCGGACACUACAUCUUCUCCUUCUCUCCAUUAUCAUCUUGCUGAAAUUAUCCAGAAAAUCAUUUUAACCCAUCAUUUUCAUCCGUAAUUUCAGCUACCCAAAAGAUUUGGGCAGCUUUAGUGGAGUUGUAGAUAGCAAAAAUCCUUAAGUCGGGGUAGCACUUGCUUGCUGGCAAGAACACAGAAAAUUGACCAUGAAUUUUUGGGGAAAGCCAAAGUUUGAAGACUGAAUCUUAAGGAAACAAGAGCUAAGGUUGUCACAGCAUAAUUUGAGGUAAAUAAUCUGUUACAUUUUUCCAUCUAGUUUCGAUAUUUUCUGUCAAAUGUAGGUCGAGUGAGCUGAAUCUUGAGUUUAUGGGCCCAAUCUUCCACUUUAAUCUUUCAAUGGUGAGGGAUUGAGAGAGUUUUGAAAGUGAAACAAAGUGAAAGGGAAGCUAUCCUUUGUGAACUGUCCAGACCCCCUAAGAAAAUUCAUGUUUGAAUUUUGGAUGUGGAAAUUUUACUUGUAGCGAACUAUUUUUCUGAGUUUGAUAUGUUAAAAAUUGAAACAUUUUUGUGUAGUUGAUAGCGAUUUAUUAUAAUUGUUGGAGAAAGUUAAUAACAUGUGCUGUUUUUUAUGUAAUUUUUCAGUUCUAAUUCUAUUUGUAAGAGUAGCUACAUAUUAUAAUGGCUUACAUACAACUGAUUUUGAGGUAAUAGUGCUUUAAUAUUCUAUAAGUCAAGUAUCCUUUUGGGAGCCAAUUCGAUAUUUAGUUUCUAAGAGCUUAGAAGAAAUUUUGAUCAGUUUGGCGACUUCUAGAUAUUGAGGGAAUGAGAAGCUAUGCAAAGCGAGUGGAUUAUGUUGUUGGUAAGUGGAAGUGAGGCAGAUUGUAUAAUCUUAACUUAUGGCCUUUGACUUUAGAAGUUAACUGUAUAAACUUACCAUUACCACACACUAAUUAGACAUUGUUUACUCUGAUGUGGAGAAACAAACUCCUAAAUUGAUAAAUUCAUGUUAUUGUUAUGAUUGUUUUAUUGCACAUUAUGGUGUUAGUGUUGCAGUAGAGUUUACUAUGGCUUUUUAAGAUUCCUCCCUAUUGAAUUAGAGUUUUUGACCUGGAUUUACCAACUGAACGUGAAAGAUUCUGCAACAAAUAAAUGUUAGCUUUGGAGUAGAAAAGCAUUGUUGUCCACCCUGUAGUUGUAUUUGUUAGAGAAGUUAUUAAGGGGACCAAGAAUAAGCCAAUCUGUAAUGGCUUAUACAGUUAAAUAAGCCAUUAUGAAUAAAGUAGUAGUUUAGCCAUUACAAUCUGUAAUGUCAUCUGCACAUUAAUGCUUUUGCAUUGUAAUGAGAAAGUGGACUCUAUUUUGAAAAUUAUGCACUAUGUUUAAGUUUGGAGCAGCAUUAACUCAUUAUUCUGCGGCAAAUGUCUUAUACAUUUGCACGGGUAAUUAGCUCUUCAAUGCAUGUUUACUUGCUAUGUAGAGACAUUUUCACUCUGAAAUGCAACCUAAUCUGUGAUGUUUGCUUGUAAGAGAGGUGCUGCAUGUUUAUUUGAAGAGUAUAGUGCUCAAACUCGCUCAAACGAUGACUAAUGAUAGUGGUGUUUCUGACAUAAUACAUGUAAGUGUACUUUGAAACUUCUUAUUAAUUAACUCUAAAGAUUUUGAAGCUAUUCUGUGGCAUGUCAUCUUAGACAAGUUGUGUUUGACUUUGAUAUGAUUCAUAGCCUCCAAAAGAUGUGGAUUCCAAUUUGGUCUGGUUUGUUGGAGUCUCAAGAUUCUCCUAACUUCAACUUUUAUUUCUUUCCCUUUUUUCUUUGGCUUCUUUAUAUGGAAUUUUUUUGUAAAGUUAUUUUAUUGAGCAACCAAGUUAAUGCCGCAUCAAAGAUUUCAUUGGCAAGUUACUUAUUAAGUUACUAGCAGGCAUAACUGUGGCGUUGCGCGGUGGAUUAGAUAGCAUGUAUGCCUAUUUAGGUAUGAAUAAAUAGACAUUACAUGAAUAGUGAUAAUGUCACGGAAUUAAACAUCUUUUUUUUCAAUACGGAAUUAAAUACCUUGUGGUUACAUUAUCUAAGUUUUAUUUGUUUAGAUCCAUAUUCCGCGCUAAUUAAUCAUUAAUAUAUCCAUGAACGUCUAGAAGAAGGUAAGCAUUUAAUCGAAUUAAAAUUUAAUAAUAAUAUAAAAACAAUAUAGAAAGCAAUAUAACUUUGGAGAUCAAGAAUGUAAAUUUAAAAUUUAUGAUAGACAGAAUAAGGGGUAGAAAUUGGAACUCAAAACAAGGUUAAUUCUAUUUAAGGCAUUUAGAAGUACCAAACCAGAAAUUGGCACACUGCAUCGGACAAAAGCAAUUGCAUUAAUGAUUUGGAGUCUACUUACAUAAUAUUUAGAUCCUGAACAGGCAAUGCUAAGGGUACAUAAUUUCUAUAUGUUAAUCUCAGUUCUUAGCUUUUGAUGAUUACAAAACAAAUGGAUGUUGCUAAUAUCUCCUCAAAGACCUUUUUAGAAAUGAAGCAAAUUAGGUUCAAAGAUGAACCUGUUGUUGAAGCUGUCGGACACACAAAAAAACUGGAUCAGACGUUCGACAAUCAUUGAACAACUUCGGAUGUAUAAUGAACUCCAUUACCGGACAUCCGAAAGAAAUCAAACACCUCCUUAAGUUCACUGACCUCGAUCGGACGUAGAACAUUAAAGCACCGGACGUCCACAGAAUUGAAGAAGGAUUCUCAAACUUUACCAUCUGCUUUCGGGGGCAAACUUUGGAGGUACCGGACGUCCGAAAGAAUUAAAGAAAUUUUUUCUUACUCUCUGCCUGCUGUCGGACACAAGAAACAAGACUACCGGAUGUCCGACACUACCAACGGUUAGUUGAUUUUUCAGCUACCUUCUAUUCGUUAGAAGCUUAAAUGAAGGAAUUUUUUGGUCUCCUAUCAAUAGAGCAAAGUCAACCACUUCAAAUUACUUUUGCUCAUUGAAACUACAAAAGAUCGAGAGCAAUUUUAGUGAGAAAAUUCUCUUCAAAGAAGAUUUGUACUCUUAGUUGUGUAGAUUUCGUACAAGCUUUUCUUGUGUGAGAAAAUUACUUCAAUAGUGUAGCUUUGUAAGGGUUAUCCGAGUGAUAAUAAAACUUGCUAACUUGACCAAGUGUGGUUUGGAGCAAGGAGAAAGUGAUCCUUUUUUUGUGCACAUAGAUUGGUUGUAAUUGAUUAACUUGAAGAAACUUACUCUAUAAAGUGAUAUUCAAACUCAAGAGGAGUUUGAAAUUUGGUUUGCUAUUCUAUCUCUUUUAUUUACUAUACUGCAAUAUAAAUUGUUCAUCUCUUCUACUCACGGACAUUUGUACUUUCUCAUUAUUUGUUCCAUUGUAUGGUCAUCUAGAAAGAGGGUAAAUUUCAUAUUCAACCAAAAAGUGUCUCAUAAUUUGGUUAGUUUUUAAUUUACCUAAUUCACCCCCGUCUUACGUUGUUUUCGAUCCUUACAAUUGGUAUCAGAGUUUGGUCUCCUAGAGAUUAAGCUCAAUCGGCUUUGGAAUAAAAAUGACAACCAACAAUGCCAUGUUUUUUGAAGGAUAAUCUGUCACUAGACCCCCAAUGUUUAAUGGAUCCAAUUAUGUGAAUUGGAAGGAAAGAAUGAUUAUGUUCUUGUAAUCUAUUGAUAUUGAACUAUGGUUUAUUGUUAAUGAAGGUUCAUUUGAAUAACUCUACAAUUGAUGAAGCCACUCAUAGACUAAGACCAAAAAUCAGAAAUGAGUUGACUGCUGAGAAUAAAUCUCAUCUCACCUUGAAUACCAAAGGUAUGAAUGUGUUGUAUAGUGCUUUAGAUUCAAAUGAGUCUAUUAGAGUCAAAGGUUGCCGAUCUGCAAAAGAAAUUUGGGAUAAACUAAGAGAGAUCCAUGAAGGAAGUGAGAAUGUAAGAGAAUAAAAGAAAUCAAUCCUAGUUAUUAAGUAUGAAUCAUUUAAGAUGGAACCUUAUGAAAACAUUGAUAAGAUGUAUUGUAAAUUCAAUGAUCUCAUUAAAGAUUUAGAGGUGCUGGAAAAUGAAUACACCUUAGGUGAGAAAAAUAGAAAGAUUUUGAAUGCACUGACCAAAGAUUGGGAGAGUAAAGUGACUUCCAUUGAAAAAGCUAAAGAUCUAAAUACUAUGUCUAUUGAAUCUCUCAUUAAUUCUCUAACUUCUUAUGAGUUGAACCUUAAGUCUAAGGUACAAGAGGAGGAAGAUGCAAAAGUGAGAAGGAGCAUUGCUCUAAAAACUUCUCAAGAUGAAGAUGAUUCAACUUCCUUAGAUGGAGAUAAUGUAGAAGUUGAUGACAAUGAUCUUGCUCUUAUCACAAGGAGUUUUAAAAGAAUCCUCAACAAAAGGAGAUUUAGAAGAAGAGGACCUAGCAAUACAUUUUCUAAUCAGUUCAAUAAUUCAAGAAACAAAGGAAAAUAAGAGACUAAUAAAAAGCAAGCAGACAAAUACUUUGAAUGCGGCCAACUUGGACACUACAUGAGUGAGUGUCCAAUGAAGAAGAAGAAAGAAGGAAAAGUUGAACGAAAAUCAAAGUUCAACAACUUUCAAAUUACAUGGAAUGAUUGUAACUCAGAUGGUGAUAUCGAAGAGAAAGAGGAAUCUGCUCAAAUGGCUUUCAUGGCCAUUGAUGAUGAUGAGGUAACUACUUGCAACUGUCAACCUGUUGGUGAUGAUGAAUCUAAAGAUGAUGUUGAGUCUUUCAUUGAGAGAUUGCAUAAUAGCUUAAAAGAAUCGUAUGCUAGAAACAAGGAACUAAAAUAGAAAAUUAAUUUUUUGAUUCAAAACAAUGCAAAUCUUUUUCGACAAAACAAAAUGCGGAAAGCUGAAAAUGACUGCUUGAAAAAGGAUGAAAAUGUUCUACUUUUUGAGCUUGAUAGAAAAACAAAGCUGUGUGAAUUGUUCAAAAAGGAACAAGGUGACUUGAAAAGAAGAAUGGAUGGCCUAGAUAAAUUGCUUAAACAUACGAAACAAGACUGCUUUCAAAAGAGUGAAUCAAAACCUCACUUUGACAUUCACAAGAAAAGGUUGAACUCUAAUGCAAACGAAUUUAACAUCUAUAAAAGAAGGUAAGUUAGAUUUAUUAAACCUGUCUUUGUAGGAAACUCACUGACUAUGUGUAGCUUUUGUUGUCAAGUUGGUCACAUGAAAAAUAAUUACUAUGUAAGAAAGAAUAUGAGAAAUGACAUGAAAUGCAUGUGGAUAGUUAGACAUAAUGUUAACUCUCAAGGACCCAAAAAGUAGUUGGGUACCAAAUAUCAUCUUGUGAACUUUUGUGUAGGUGAGAUUGGUGAAUGUUAUUAAAGAAUCAAAAUGGUUCAUAGAUAGUAGAUGCUUAAGGCAUAUGACUGGUGAUCCCUCACAGUUCAUCAAACUCAAGUCAAAAUCAAGUGGAAAAGUAACAUUUGGACAUGAUAACAAAGCCAAAACAGUUGGAGUUAGAGAUGUUGGUAAGAAUGGCCAAACUUUUGUUCACAAUGCUCUUCUAGUUGAUAAUCUGAGUUAUAAUUUGUUGAGUGUUAGUCAAUUGUGUGACAGAAAUCUGUUUGUGCUAUUUAAAAGGCAUGAAUAUCUUAUUCUUGACUCAAAAUUUAACAUUAUUUUCAAAGAAAAAAGAGUGAAUGACAUUUAUGUAGUUAUUCUAGAAAAUAUUGAUUCUUUCAUCCUUAAAUGUCUUAAAACUGCAGAUGAGGAUCUUUGGUUGUAACAUAGAAGAUUUUGUCACUUCAAUAUAAAUUUGUUAAAAAAAAUUUCAAAAAAGAACUUGUUAGAAAUUUAUCAAAAAUUAACUUUGAAAAAGACAAAAUUUGUGAUGCUUGUCAAAUUGGAAAACAAGUAAAAGUUUCUUCAAAUCUAAGAAUUGUGUUUCUACUUCAAAACCACUGGAUCUUUUACAUCUUGAUUUAUUUGGUCCUACACAAAUUGCUAGUUUGGGUGAUAAAAUAUAUUAUUUGAUUAUUGUUGAUGAUUAUUUUAAAUACACUUGGGUUAUAUUUCUUGCUCAAAAGGAUGAUACUUUCAAAAGUUUUGUUUCAUUAUUUGCAAAAGUUCAAAAUCUGAUUGGAUUGAAAAUUAUCAAGAUUAGAAGUGACAAUGGCUCGGAAUUUAAAUUUUGUGGUUUUCCAGAAUUUUGUGAUAACAAUAGAAUCACAAUGAGUUUUCAAUUGCUAGAACUCCUCAACAAAAUGGUGUUGUUGAAAGAAAAAAUAGAACUCUUCAAGAAACCGUACGAACUAUGUUAAAGUGAAUGUAACUUACUAAAAUAUUUUUGGGCCGAAACCGUUAAUACCACAUGUUAUGCUAUGAAUAGAGUUCUUUUGAGACCUAUUUUAAACAAAACCUCUUAUGAGUUAAUGUUUGAUAAAAAGCCAAUUGUUAGUUAGUUCAAAGUUUCUGGUUGCAAAUGCUUUAUUUUAAAUAUCAAGAAACACUUUGGAAAGUUUGAAAAGAAAUCUGAUGAAGGUAUUUUUUUGGGAUAUUGUGAUAACAAAAGAGGCUUUAGAGUCUAUAAUAGAAGGACUCUUGUUAUUGAAGAAGCUAUACAUGUCACCUUUGAUGAAUCUAAUGAUAAUAUUUUCAAAAGUAGUUGUGAGGAUGAUGAUGUAGGUGUCCAAGAAGGACUCAAGAAACUCACAAUUCAUGAUCAAAACGAUACUCCACAAGAAGAGAGCUCAAAAAAAGAUAAUCCCCAAGAUAGUCAAGCAUUAGAAGAAAAUGACAAUCAUGGUGAUGCACCUAGGAAUCUUCCAAAGGUUUGAAAGUUUGUUCAAAAUCAUCCUAAGGAAUUCAUUAUUGGUUAUCCAUCCGAAAAGGUAAGAACUCGUUCCUCUUCAAAACAAUUGAUGGACAAUUUUGCUUUGGUCUCACAUUUUGAACCAAAAAAUAUUAUUGAUGCAUUGAAAGAUGAAAACUGGAUUUUAACUAUGGAAGAGGAACUAAAUCAAUUUGAAAGGAACAAGAUGUGGACAUUAGUUGAAAAAUCUCAUGAUCAUCCUAUUAUUGGCACAAAAUAGGUGUUUAGAAAUAAAAUGACUGACAAAGGUGAAGUGGUGAGAAAUAAGGCUAGACUAGUUCUUAAGGGGUAUGCUCAAGAAGAAAGAAUAGACUUUGAUGAAACAUUUACUCCCAUAGCAAGACUAGAAUCUAUUAGAAUGUUUUUGGCAUUUACACGUUUCAAGAAUUUUAAAUUAUUUCAAAUGGAUGUUAAAAGUACUUUCUUAAAUAGUUUUAUUGAUCAAGAGAUAUAUGUUGAUCAACCUCCCGGUUUUGAGAAUGAAAUGUUUCCAAAUCAUGUGUUUAAACUCUUAAAAACUUUGUAUGGUUUAAAACAAGCUCCAAGAGUAUGAUAUGAAUGCUUAAGUGGUUUCUUGAUUGAAAAUGGUUUUGAAAGGGGCAUUAUAAACACCACUUUUUUCACCAAACGAUGUUCCAAUGAUCUACUAAUUGUGCAAAUAUAUGUUAAUGAUAUUAACUUUGGUGCUACUAAUGAGUAUUUGUGUAUGAAUUUUUUCAACUAUUAUGCAAAAAGAGUUUGAGAUGAGCAUAAUGGGAGAAUUGAAUUUUUUUCUUGGGUUUCAAGUGGAACAAACUCGAGAAUAAACAUUCAUUAAUCAAGCUAAAUACACCAAGGAACUGCUCAAAAGGUUCGGUAUGGAGGAAUCAAAACAAGUUGGAACACCAAUGUGCACAUCUAUCAAACUUGACAAGGAUGAAGGAGGUAUAAAUGUUGAUGAAAAGAAGUAUAGAGGUAUGAUUGGCAGCUUACUUUAUUUAACUGCAAGUAGACUUGAUAUCAUGUUUGCUAUUUACUUGUGUGCUGGUUUCCAAUUUUGUACAAAAGAAUCUCACUUGCUUGCUGUGAAAACAAUUUUUAAAUAUUUGAAAAGAACAUUGAACUAUGGUCUUUGGUAUCCUAGAUGUCAUGAAUGUCCUUUAUAUGGUUUCUCGGAUGCUGACUUUGGUGGAUGUAGAAUAGAUAGAAAGAGUACUAGUAGUACAUGCCACUUUCUAGGUAAUUGUUUAGUAUUUUGGUUAAGUAAGAAAUAAAAUCCUAUUUCAUUGUCUACGGCCGAAACGGAAUAUGUUACCACUAGUGCAUGUUAUACUCAAUUGAUGUAGAUGAAAAGUACCUUGAAUGAUUUUGGAUUAGUAUAUGAUUGUGUGCCUGUGUGUUGUGACAAUACAAAUGCGAUAAAUUUGACAAAAAAAUCUCAUUCAACAUUCUGGGAUAAAGCAUAUUGACAUAAAGCAUCAUUUCAUUAGAGAUCUCCUCCAAAAAGAUGAAAUUUGUGUGCAAUAUGUUUGUUCAAAGGAUCAAAGUACUAACAUUCUCACAAAAGCCCUUUCACUAGAUCAGUUUAUAUUUUUAAGAACAAAAUUGGGUAUUAUUGAAAAGUUUUUUUGAAAAAUUAUCUGGUCACACUUUAUCAAACGUCUGACAGUGUUCUUGAUCACUUUUCCAGAAAAUUUGGUUUUGGACGAUAGUGUCGGACGCUUCACUUCGUUCAACCGUCCAACACUCUAAAUAUGCUUGUUAUAAGUCAAUUUUCUCCUUCAUUCAGUUUAUUUUCUAUCCGUUAUAUCAGACGCAACUUCUCAUCCUCUCCUAUUUUCAAAUUUCAAAAUUCGUCUAUCUUCUGAACAAGUUCCAAGAAAUUAAUUAGUUCAAAGCCUUUACACUCUUUUUACCCGUUCAUAACCCCUCAUAACUUCCUCUAACUGCCAACUGGUCUAUAAAUCCCAAUUUUCACCCGAAACCCUAGUCACUCAAAAGUCACUCUCUCUGGAUGAUUCAAGCCCUCAUUAUAAUUAAUACCGCAUUUUUAGUCAGUCUCAUACAUAUUUGCAUCAUUCUCCAUAACAAAAACAAUCUGCAUUUCAUCAUGGUAAGAAUUAGGGGAGGAUCUGUCAGUGCAAGACGCACCACCAGGUUCAGGUUGAGGGAUGAAGAUACUGAAAUUAUUGAGCCCUCUACCACUAAAUUUCCAAAAAGGGCGACAAAAAAACAUGGUGGAAAAGGGAAAGGUUCGGCCCAAAAAAAACAUUCAAAGGAAUGGCAAACUACUUCCGCUGAGCAAACUGCAUUACCUCUUAUCAGUGAUAGUGAAGAGGAACUGGAGCAGCUUACUAAUGUUGACGCAUCUGUCACGAAAUCACCCAGAAAAGGGACUGAACCUCAUUGUAAAAAGGGGAAAUGGUCUGCUAAAAAGAAUGGGACAGUUCAAACUAAGGAAAGGCAAACUGCUGAUCCUUCUGUUGAGCAAAUUGAGGAACAGCAGACUGUUGAGCAAAAUGCUAAGAAUCAGCAAGCUACUGAGACUUCCACCAGAAAGUCACCAAGAACAAGGUCUGGUGGACAGACCGAUAUACAUGAUACUCCUCGAAAUGGAAAGAGGAAACGAACUGCCAGGGAGCAACCUGAGGCUCAGAUUGCAGAGGAAUCUACCUCAUUGCCAAAGUUCAUUGAUGAUGAUGCCCGAGAUAGGUUCAAAUGGGUUUCUCAGAAGGACUUCAUCACCCAAUGGACAAUUAUCCCUCAUGAAUUCCGUAAGUUUGACCUUGAACCUGUCAUUAAGCUCUUUGAAUUCCAAAAAUGGAUUCAUAUUUUGACCAUUCCCAACACCUACUACCCUGACAUGCUUCAUCAAUUUUUUGUCAAUCUCAGGAAGGGUAAAUCCCAUACUGAUCUAGUCUCACGAGUAAAUUCUGUUGAUAUAGAAUUAAAUCCUGAUAUUGUCAACACUGUUAUGAAAAUCAAAAUUGAAUAUGGUUUUAAAGGAAAAAUUGCUAACUUUUUCUCAUAUGAACAAUUUCUUUCUGCCUAUAAUCACUUUCAUAUUGCAAAACUGAUGACUUAUUUUCAAACUCAUUUUAAUACUCCUACUGAGGCAAGAUUGGAAGAUCUCAAUCCUCAAAAUUUGAUCAUCUUCUCUAUAAUUUCAUCUAUUAGUUCCUACUGAUGGUUAUAGGACAAAUGCCAACAAAAUGGAGCUUUACCUGUUUUCCUGCUUUCUUGAAAAAAUUUGAAUUGAUUUCGGCUUUGUUAUGUGUAAAUUCUUACUCAAAAUCAGCACUGAUAGCCGUAGAAAACUUUCCUAUGAAAAAUUUCUGAUCCCAAUUUUUGCUCAUUUCAAAAUUCCCUUCACUGACAAAUCACCAAAAGAAAGUACAUCUAUUGUCUUUUCAAAGGCAUAUUUUGAAAGAAAAAAUCUGAUGUUUUUUGAUGGAAAAUGGUGCUACAAGGAAACUGUUUUGGAGACUAGGAGAAAGAAUCAUCAUGAAACACCUAUCUCCCCUAGGACUCCUCAAGAUCAGUCCAUGUAUAUUUCAUCCUUUACUAUCCAUCCUAGAAGGUUAGCCACUAAGCCCUCUUCAACUAACUCUGAGGUUAUUUCUUUGCUUGAAAAUCUCAAACAACACAUCCUACUCCUUGAAAAUAGUCUAAUGAUGACCGUGUCACCCGACCAACAAGCCACCUUCAUUGACAAAAGAAAUUUGCAUGUACCUCCUGUUCCUCAAGACAAUGAGAAUGUACACCAAAAGGGACCUAGAAUUGAGUCAACUGAGCAAACUCCUCGUACUGAAACUACUCUAGAGAUUCGUGCUUCCAGUUCUCAUCCACAGGACAAGGGAAAGGCUCCAGCAACUGAAGCGGAAACUGAAGAGGAUGAUGAUGAGGAAACUAAAGAGGAAGAAGUGGAUCCUGCUCAGUUUCGCCUAGCAAGAAGGAGGUCUGGAUCGUCCAAGAUUACAAUUUAGGCACCUCUAGGCUCGUGCACUUCAUGUUUAAGUAGGCAUCUCAUAUUAGACAUUUGCAUCUUCGGCAUUUUAACAUUUCAAGUACUCUGUACUCAAGAUUCUGGUUGUUUGGUUAACUCUUCUGGCUUAUAAACUAUUCGGUUAACUUCUCUAUGUUGAAUGGUUUCUAAUUAAUUUUGUUGGUUAUCUUUUUGGUUAAUUCUGUUUGCUUCUGGGUGCUUGGUAUCCCUGUGACUUCUGAUUUUUAACAUUGUUUGCUGAUAUUGGUGAUUGUUGAUUUUGUUGGAUAUUCUUGGUUAAUGAUGUUGUUGAUGACAUUGAUGUUGGAUACAGGAUUGGAAUUGGAUUUGAAUUGUAUUAAUGUCACUGGCUAUUAAGAUCUUCUAAUGAUGACAAAAAGGGGAAGAAAUGAUAACAAGUUACUACAGGAAAUGUAAUCUGGUAAAUACGUGAGGGGUAGCUAUUCUGAGGGAGAGUGUCUACCUUUUUUGAUUCAUUAAGUGAGGGGGAGUUUUUAACUUAAUUAUUUUCCUCCAUCCACUGUUUUGUCAUCAUCAGAAAAUGGGAGAUUGUUAAUCUCAGUUCUUAUCUUUUGAUGAUUACAAAACAAAUGGAUGUUACUAAUAUCUCCUCAAAGACUUUUUUAGAAAUGAAGCAAAUCAGGUUCAAAGAUGAAACUGUUGCUGAAGCUGUCGGACAUACAAAAAAACUGGAUCGGAUGUCUGACAAUCAUUGAGCAACUUCGAACGUAUGAGGAACUCCAUCACCGGACGUCCGAAAGAAAUCAAAACUCUUCCUUAAAUUCACUAAUCUCGAUCGAACGCAGCACCGGACGUCCGAUAGAAUUGAAAAGGAUUUUCAAACUUUACCAUCAACUUUCGGACGCAAACUUUGGAGGUACCGAAAGUCCAAAAGAAUUAAAGAAAAUUUUUCUUGCUCUCUGCCUGCUGUCGGACGUAAGAAACAAGACUACCGGACGUCCGACGCUACCAAUGGCUAGUUGACUGUUCAACUGCCUUCUAUCCGUUGGAAGCUUUAAUGAAGGAAUUUUUUGGUCUCCUAUAAAUAGAGUAAAGUCAACCACUUUAAAAUACUUUUGCACAUUGAAACUACAAAAGAUCUAGAGCAAUUUUAGUGAGAAAAUUCUCUUCAAAGAAGAUUUAUACUCUUAGUUGUGUAGAUUUCGUAUAAGCUUUUCUUGUGUGAGAAAAUUACUUCAAUAGUAUAGCUUUGUGAGGGUUAUCCGAGUGAUAGUAAAACUUCCUAAUUUAACCAAGUAUAGCUUGGAACAAGGAGGAAGUAAUCCUUCUUUUGUGCACAUAGAUUGGUUGUAAUCGAUCAACUUGAAGAAGCUUGCUCUAUAAAGUGAUGUUCAAACUCAAGAGAAGUUUGGAAUUUGGUUUGCUAUUCUAUCUCUUUUAUUUACUAUACUGCAAUAUAAAUUAUUCAUCUCUUCUACUCACGAGCAUUUGUGCUUUUUCAUUAUUUGUUCCAUUGUGUGCUCAUCUAGAAAAGAGGGUAAAUUUCAUAUUCAAUCAAAAAGUGUCUCAUAAUUUGGUUAGUUUUUAAUUACCUAAAUCACCCCUCUCUUAGGUUGUCUUCGAUUCUUAUACUAUAAUUUCUAUUCCACUGGCUCCAAAGAUCAAUACAGCAAUUGAAGUACGAGGCUGAGCAAGAAAGAACAAAAUGUCUCCGUCUUCUAACCUAUGAGCUAUAACAAAGUCACUCCAUCUUCGAUGAAAGCCAUCUUUUAUGAUUCCAAUAUUGUAACUUUUGGUUCCACUUGUUAGAACAAUAUCUAGAGUCCAAGGCUCAACUACAUUUAAUCAGUGUGCUCUAGAAUUUUCUACAAGCAAAAAGCAAGGCAUAAGAAUGUAAAGGAAUUAUGUUGCAAAAUAGAAGGAUUUGUCUUAAAAUAUAUAUAUGUAUAUACCGUGCUAUAUCUAAAUCUUUGAGUAUAAACUUAGAGCGCAUUUAGCACCAUUAGAUCAUGCCUAAUGAAUUGAUUGAUGGAUGAUGCAACAAAUCCUAAACUCACAUCUAUAGCUAUACCAUCUGUAGCACAGCAACAGGUGUGUUAGUAAAGUAUAUCAAGCGACAAAAAAAAAUUUAUUCAUUGUGAAAUGGAAAUUUAUGCUCCUUCUAAGAUCAGUGGUGUGUAUGGGAGCAUUGGCAAGUGCAAUGUUCAUCAUGUCCACAUUAGAUUGUGAGUAGCAGAGAAAGCAAAAACUUCGUAGAUGAAGUUCCCUCUAUUUCAAGAAAAAAAAAAUCAUAUUGCCUGGAGAGAUGUAGUUAUCACUGCAGAAAUUGUUCCAUUGUUUUUCAAAACAAGAAUUCAGAAUUUUUAUUUCCAAUGAGCCAAACCAUGAUAAAUUGUCCAUCUUCAAAACAAUUAGCAGCUACUAUUUCAUCAGGGAUCGCUUGAAAUGAGAUAGACAGGUUAGGUAUGUAUUAAGGGAAAAAGUGAGUAUCAAUUUAACAGAUGACUUAUUUUCUGGUGCUUGUGUAGAACAAAACAUAACACCACGGUUGUCCACUAUCCAUGAAACCAAUCUCUUCAUUUUCUGUUCAAGAGAACAAAAGAAAUGCAAUUAUAUGUGUAGCUCAUUGAGUAGUCCACAUUCUAUAAUGAUGCAAAAAAUGUAUAAAAAGCCACUUGUUUCUACGAAUGCCAUUGAGGUGAUAUAUGUAUUAUUCUAUAGCCACUGCUCAAUCAAUGCAAAUGAAAAUAGUGAGGGUUCACCCAUAUAUUUUAGAACCAUUGGACAUGCUUCAAGGAAAGACCUCUUCACAUAAUAAGUUGUCGCUCCAUGAACCUUGUUUACAGCAGUUGCUGCAAGAAUCUUUUCAUGGUCAAAGGUGCAUAGAUAAAAUUUAAUAUUGUUUCCCUUCUCAACUGCCUCCUAUUUCUAAAAGGGUCUCUUGGUUUAACCAUAGGUGGUUAAUAUCAAGAGUAUUUUAGUUCUAUAAUUUCAGCAUAUCUCAAAGCCGAUCACUAAAGCAAGGAGCAAAAACAAGGGAAAGUUUGCUGUGCUACCAAAGGAAGAAGAUGUUGAAUGUAUUUUAAAGUGAGAAUGAGCAUAGCAUGUUUAAAUAAGAAGUCAAUAUACAAGGACAAGCAUUAAGUACAAGAGCAUUAUAAUUGGUUGAAAAAAUAUGAAACCUCCAAAUAGAGCAAAGCAGGAAAUACCUCACUCAAUACUUCCAAACAAAGCCACCAUACAUAUAAUUAUUUAUAAUUCACAAUACUUGGGAAACAAGCAAAUAUUUUGAAAAUUUUCCCAACAAGACUUGCAUUACUGUAACCACAAUGAUCUCAAUCAUUAUGUGUUACAUAGUUGACCCAACUAUUCUAUUUUAACAAAGACAGAUUGUUUUAAAUAUUCUUACGAAAAUGAUAGAACACAAGUGGCAUGUUAGCCUUAAAAAUUUAUUGAAAAAAUACAAUAAUUUGACCUUUACUUGAAUGUCCAAUCACCAAAACUCAAAUACGAUACUGGAAAUCCUAAAAGCUUAAGCCCAAAUUAUAGAUCAAGGCCUUUACUCCAUAUCAGCCAAGUAAUAAUCAUAUAAUACCAUCCAACUAAAUAAAAAAUUAUGCUCACAUAAGCUUUCAAGAGCUGUACAUAUUGAGAAGUAAAUCUGUCAAGGAUUUUUAGAUAAAAUAGAACUUAAUCUGUCAAGGAUCAUCUCCAGCUAUUGUCUCACAAGUACAUCAUAACCAGAAGGAAAAGCAACUCAUCUACAUUUUUUCUUAGAAACCUCCAUUGUUUCAGAAGUGCAAGUGUAAACAGGCUCAUCCCUAGCCAUUAUCUCACAACCACAUCAGGACUAGAAGGAAAAGUAAAGGAAAUGGCCAAUGGAAAAUUCGAAAAAAAGCUACAAUUCUCAGAAAGAUUCAACCAUGCUCAAGUAAUACUAACAUAAUACCAUCCAAGUAAAUAAAAAAAAUUUUGGCUCACAGAAGCUUCCAAAAGCUAUACACAUUGACAGACCCACAACAUGAAAGACCCAGACCAGAAUAAUGCCAAGCAAAGACAUAGCCACAACCUAAAAAGGCAAGUCCAAAUAUAAGUAAAUAUGAAAAGUUUCUGCUUACAAAGGCUGCCAAAAUCUAUGCACAUUAACAAAAUUAUAACACAAAAGACCUACGAGAAUAAACCAAUGAAAAACAAAAUCACAACCAGAAAAGAUGACAAGAGGAUAGAAAUGCAAAAUACAAAGAUAAAUGAGCAAAGAAUAGAAAAAUAUCCAACAAACAUCAAACCAAUGGACAGAACAAUAGUGAAAAUGGUAAAAAGAAACAUAACCAAAUAUCCAUGAGCAAACGAAAAAUAGAAAAAAUAUAAUUUACCUAACGGGAGAAAUUACAAUCAGAGCUCGCAAGUAAAGGAUCUGUAGAAAAGAGGAGCUUGUCAAAAUGCCAAAAAGAAAAUGAAGGAAAUAGAGGAAAAUACUAAAAUAACUGAUGAGAAAAAGAAGGAGAUGAUGGGGGGAAUGUAGACAGAGCAAUAACAAAAAAUGGUACCCAAGAGCAAAGAAAAACAAAAAUAUUACAAAUUACCUGACAAAAGAAACUAUUAUUAGAGCUCGCAAGUAAAGGAUUUGCAGAAAAGAGGAGCUUGUUACAAUUUUUUUUUUUUAAAAGGACAAGGGAACCAAAGGAAAUAUUGAAAUACCUGAUAAGAGAAAAGAGAUGGAAAUGCAAGACACGGAGGUAAGCGAAGAAAACAGAAGACGAUGGAAAUGUAGAACACAGCAACAAACCUCCAAGAGCAGGACACACCUAAGCUUCACAAAGGCAGAGCAAUAACCACAUAGAAUCUGCGAGACAAAGAUGAAGUGAAAGGCAAAGAAGCUGAAAAGUGCCUGACGAGAGAAGCCACAAACAAAAUUCUCAAGACAAAGAUGAAGCGUGAAAACGGAGAUGAGAAAACAGAUGAGAAACUCUAGGAAAAAAGGGCACAACCAAUUUGUCUUGGAAUUCAGACCACAUUGGAAGAGACAGCCAUGAUAAAAUGCGCCAAUUACCAUUCUGAAGAAAGCUUUCCUGGUAGCUCCAGGCAAUGCAGCGGUGAGAGCCAAGAAGGAAAGGAACUCGUACGGUCAUCUGUUCCAAAGCAGAAAACCCAUGGUCGACCCAAUUACCCGAACCAUUCCAAUGGAGCAUCUAGAAGUGCAAACUUACACAACUCACAUGCUCGGCACAUGACAACGACGAAACCCCUUGGUGCAUUGUAUGUUAUGUUGAUAAGAAAAAAUGCACCUAUAUGAUUCAUCUUCAUAUCUUGCUGUCUUGUUUAAGUUUGCAUUACUGUUCAUGCAUCCGAUGUAUGUUCUUCCAUUUUUUUUCUUCCAUGUGUAUGUCAAACCUAUGGUACUCAUGCACUUAAUUGUUUUUUCAAAAUCUUAAGAGUAACAAGUUUAUUCUACUGAUUUCAUGAACUUGCAAAACACAAAAAAUUUAUAAAUGCAGGGAAAUGAUCAUAAAGUUCAUAAAACACAAUAAAGGAAAAAAGAGCAAGGAAAAAACACAAAAUAAAUGCAAAAAAAAAGUGGAAAAAAGUACAAGGGCAAGAAUCAUAAAAAGAAUGGGUAAGAAAGAAAGAUGCAGCACUUGCACUUGCACGAUAAGCCUUUAAAUCUUUGUUCACUACAAUGAAAAUCUCAAGCAAUGAUCAAUUACAUUAUUGUUAUCCUCUAGGCCAUUAUAUCAAGCUAGCUUACAUAAUGUACUUUGCCAAAUCAUUAGUCUCCUAUUGGGAGUCGAGCAUUUAAAAACUAAGAUGAGUUUUGCUCUACUCAUCAAAAAAAGAUGAGGAAAACAGCUUUUUGCCACAUUUGUGGUUUUAGAGCUUAUUGCACUACGUGCAUCUGGUGAUUUCAUUUGAUGCUAAAACUAUAUCGGUAUUUCCUUUUGAAUUUAAUGUAUCACAUCUUGCAAAAAAGGAGGCACAGUAUUAAGCGCAAUAAGGGGACAGGUGACCAUUUCAGCUGCAUGUCUUCUGAAUUUGCAGCCCAACUCUUCAUUGACUAUGAUCGGAUUGAUGAGAUGCCACUCACUUGUGUGUCUAGUUUGAAUCUACUGCUAUUAAAUGAAAGACAUAAAACGAGCGAGUUGUGCAUGAUAUGCGUAGAAGCAUAACUGGUUCCAUGUAAUUUCUAAGUGCAUUUGAAGGUAGGAAGUUACACUACAGAUUUGUUGGCCUAUUAUUCUACAAAAUGGCUCAGUGAUCUAGAAUUAUAUCAUUGCAAAGAAUGAUUUGCUUGUUGAAGGCACUGACAAAAACAUCCAGCUUCUUGUUGAAGAUUAGAACAUCUGUGACAUCUAAGUUCCAGUUUGUUUUCUUUUCCCAUUUUUGGAAUGAGUUUAGUUUCUUAAGUCACCAAAUUUACAACAUUUUCAUGUUCUUGACAGUGGAUGCUAUUUGUCUAAAGUAAUUUUUCAUGUAUACUUAGCAUCGUUCACUAAAAUCGUGAUAUAGAACUUGACUUUUGACUUGAUAUUAUUUUCUGUUCUUCCUAGGCCUGUCUACUGCUUGUUGUUUUGUGUAGUCAUUAUUCAGAGUUUGAAGACUAUUGGACCUGUAGGCUUUAAAAAUCUUGUUCACAAUUUUCUUCAAAAAGUUGGCUGCAAGAAGCUUUAGAACCUGCAUUUCAAAGAGCUGGUCAGAGAAUGUAUCCUUAUUGAAAGACUGCAGUGGAUAAUUAUACUGAUUCAUUUUUUGCUAAAUAUCUUUUUAUGUUGAGCAUACCAUUUUUUGGUUGAACUUAACUUUCACUAUAAAGGGACAGAGAUUUGGAGAAUUGAAAACUUCCAACCAAUUCCUUUACGAAAAUCUGAUCAUCGUAAGUUCUACUUAGGUGAUUCAUACAUUGUCUUGCAGGUGCAUAUGGCUUCCAAUAUUUCUUCCUUUGUAUCUUAUUUUGGGCCUCAUUUUUAUGAAUUGAGUGUUUAUGACUGAAGGAAGAGCUUAAAUCUUUUUUAUCCUAUUUUAAGUUUGGAUACAAUGAACUGAUAAAAACUAAUAUCGAUCAUUGCAGUCCAGUUUAAUAUUGAUCAUGAGGAGGCUGUUGAAUAUGAUGAUAGAGAUGGUUGAAAUCUGACAUUGGUACUACGGUCUAUGCUUUAGUUUAGAAAUCUAGUACUCUUUUUUUUUGGAAGGAUAUGUAUUGGUCAUUACUGCUUGAACUUAUUAUGUGAGCUUUGGGACCCAACAUUUGUGGUUCACUUUUGUUUUGAUGAAUGUAUAGACGUUCAUGGCCAUAUAUAUGAAUUUGUGGUUUUAUUCUACGUUGAUUUUGUCUUUUGUCAAAUUGAAUAUUCUGCUAUAAUUUGUUGAAAAUGCUAUGACAAUGCUAUAUUCGUAAUGGUCAAUUUCAGCUCUUCAAGACAAAGCUCAGUGACAACCUUUGACAUGCAAUUUCACUAAGUGACGAUUAUUUCUGUCACUGAAUAAUAGGACUGAUUGUGACAAGCUCAGGUUGUCACUGUAAACUUCAAAUUUGUGACGACUUUUGCUACAUCUAUGAUAAAAAUAUAGGUGAAACAGUGACAAGAAAAGUCAUUACAAAAUAAUAUCCAUUAGUGACGACUUUGUCCUCGUCAUUGAAUAACAAGAUUCUAUGACGACUUUCAAAGAGUUGUCACAUGGACCCAUUUAUGACAUAGAAUCUGUGACAACCAUGUGACAAUCGAAAAAGCCGUCACUAUAUCUGUAUAAUGACGACUUUUUGGCUUUUAGUAAUGACUUUUUGUUGUCACAAAAGACCCAUUUUCUUGUAGUGUAGUAUGCACAGAAAAGGUGGCUAGAUCUAAUUUUUUUGGGGGGAGGGGUGUUUCGAUUCGCAUUAUUUGAAUUCAAAGGGGAUGUUACUGUGACGCCCCCACAUCUCCCUAAGUCGAACCAAAGGGUAUCCGCGGGACGCCUGCCCAACUCUAGUCAGGACUCAAGUAAUUCCGUUCAACUUAAAACCAAACCGAACAUUUCGAAGAGAGCAACAUGAAUACAAAUAAUGCAGAAGCGUUAAAACUUAUCAAGUCACUUAACAUGUAACCAGUACAUCGGGUAAUCAUAAUACAACUUAAAUCCUAAAUACACGUCAAGGCCCAAAUUUUACAUUUCAAUUCCAAAAGUACAACCCAAACCAGGGCAUAGCCAAAAUAUAGUAGAAAUCCUAAACAAAAGGACAACGAAGGGUUUCUCCAUACUUCCCCAAGAUUCGGUCAUGUUAAGGAAAACAAACUAAUAGGAUGAGCCAAUACUCAGUAAGGCCAAGAAAACACACAUGCAAACACAUAAUCCAAGUAGCGACAACAAUUACAUUGUAGGUAAGGCUAUCAAAUUCGAAUAAUUCACAUUUCGAAUAGGAAAAAUAAACAGAAACAAUUCAACGAUACUGUAGCUCUCAGGAGCUAAAUUCCACGUAGUCGAGUCAAAGUCUUGAUCACAUCUCACGUUGACACUUCGUCAACCACAUAAGUAUCAAAUCCGUAGAUACACCACUUUUCUUCGAAUCCCGUCACCGUUACACCCCCUUACCGGGCCCGCUCAUAAAAGUUUUUGAUAAUACUCGAGUAUAUCAUGGCAAUACUGCACGAGUAAUGCCGAACAAAAUCUCUCAAAUAGAUCAUGCUCUACAAAUAUCUCAUGGUUUGCUAAGCUUAUCGACCAAGCCCAUGCUGGCUCGAUUCGCAAAGUUAGCCAACGAGUUUGGGCGUCCCCCGAAUACGAAUACGAAUAUAAGUCGAUGAACAACGCUCAAAUCGACAAUUCCAAAUAGGAAUCACAAAUACGGAUCACGUAUACGAAUCACAAAUACAAAUCACAUCCACAUUACCAUGUACAAGUCGGAUACGAAUUCACAUAGCAAAAUUCGAAUAUAAUUUCAUUUGAAAGAGAACGAAUGCGAUAAAGUACACCCUCGUCUCAAAAUUUCAAAUUUACAUAACGGAUAAGAAACAGAUAACCACUUAACAACAAGUUCAUGCACUUGACACUCACCAAUCGAAAUAAGGGAGUAAGUGCAUAAACGAGCCUUUAGGUGUUCCCCUCGAGAUCCUCUUGAAGGUCUCCUAGAGCACCUGAGUAAAUAGUAAUUGUCUAUUACACACUAUCGCUUAAAACCCCUAAUUAUCGAGGAAGAUUGCACACUUGUACAAUCUAAGAAAAUUUCACGAAAAUGAGCCUUGAUUACUCGUAAAUCGAGGCUAAAAAAAUGGUGUUUUAAAACACAAGCGAAAUCUGAUUUUCAUCUUUGAAAUCAAGUGUAAAACGGUUUAGCAAUAUCGAAGGAAAAUAGAGAGUUUGCAACUCUUAAUUUCCUUUAAGUUCGAAAAUUUCAGAUUUGUCACCCAUACUUUGGAAAAUCGUAUCUCAUUCUCUACAAGUCCAAAAUUGGAAAACAUUAUACCGUUGGAAACCUCUUGGAAAUUACUAAAAGUUCUUAGAAUACACUUUUCCAUGAAUCUAAGUAAAAAGCACUCAAAAAUGAGCUUGAAAUCACUGUUCCAGAAUGUUCAGGAUUGAGCUGGGGUUGGUUUUUCGCUAACUUUGGAAAUUUGGCAGAAUUCACUCGUUGUAAAAUAGCCCUUGAAAUUUAUAACUCAAUUAGAGGUGCAAGUAAGGUUUAGGGAAGAACAAGAGGAUUGAGAAUUGGAGUUUCGAGCACCGAGAUACGGUAGCUCGAAGUUGGGAAAAUUCAAGUCUGGUGAACAAUUUCCAGAUUUGAGUUUCCAAAAAUUGGAACCUUAGCUAAGUGUCAAAACGAACUUGGAUUGGUAUAAAAUUUUGCAGUAUGUUACUCCUAUAUGAAAGGUACCGCUCUAUCAAAUUUCAGGGAAAAAUACCUUCGGAAAGGUAGUUAAUUAAUCAUCCAAAGUUCAGGAAAAUUUCUAAAGCAACCUGUCUUUUGACUUCAUUUCCCAAUUUAAAUCGUUUAAUCAAGAAAGCUAUCCAACCAUGGUUCAUUUGUGAAAUAAAGGUCAAAGAUACAUCCAUGAUACCUUUGGUAAGUGUUUAGCAUCAAGAACUUCAAUUAAUAAGAUCACUCCCAGGUUUUGUCCCAAAUCGGUCCAAGUAUUUCGGUUUUCCCAAAACAGGGCAGUUCUCUUGUUUUGGUCACAACUCAGUCAAUUUAACUCAAAAUGGAGCAUGGUUUAUGUCGUUGAAAAAUAAAUUCAUAGGGCUAUAAUAUCACAGAAGAAAUCAUUUCAAAAUUUGGCACCCAAAUAGUUCAAAAUCGAGCAUCAAUUUGCUGUCUUAUCACUUCAUUCCAGUUGAACAGAGCAACAAGACAGCGAUCUUAAAACGAUUGGUUCGGCUCACUCACAAAGAAUCAGAACAUGCAUUUUAUCUCAAAUUAACGCCUGGAAUGUCUAGUUUCCAACGCCACCAACGGCACAUGAUUUUGACAUCCGAGGACGGAGUUAUGGCCGAAACACCACCGCUGGUUAGAGCCAUACGUGAACAGUUUCCAGAUUUGCUAGUUUCACAAAAAAAAAUUCAUCUGCCCAACCAAACCUCAUUAUUUUUCAAUGAAAUUUUUCACACAUCUAAUACGUCUAAAAUAACGGUCUUAAGUCCCUUAAUUGAUCGCGCGCGUAAAACGCGUAUUUCCAAUUUUGCGCGAUAACGCUUAACUUUCAAAAAAAUUUCUUAUAACGAUUGUAUUACUAACUAAUACUUGAGCACUUAAACAUAAAAAUACCUAAUUUCAGACUAAUGUACAUGUCUCUAAUUUUUUCCAAACUUAUUGUAUCCUCGAUUCAAUUAUUUAUUCCAAUCGCAUAUUCACUAUUUUUACUUAACGAGUCUUCGGAAAUUAAAUUUUGAAACAAGUCACUUUAAAAAUAUAACUAAGCCAUAGAUCCUUUUAAUUAGGUCUAAAAAGGUUAGAAAAUAAUAUUUGGGGCGAUUGGCCAAAUAAAUAAUUAAAUGAGCUAGAAUUUGGAGUUUAAAAUAGGUAAAUUUUUGUGAGUCUUUACAUGAGUCGAGUAUUAAUUCCUUAAUGAACCUUUCUUAAUCUACCACUGAUCAUUGUUAACUCUCUAAUAUCAAUACACUCUCGAUUCAAAUAUAGUCUCGAAAAACAUGCACUCGUUGUUCCAAACUAAACGAGUUUUCGAAAAGUGAAUUUUUCUUACAAAACGCUUUAAAAAAUAUAAAUGAGGCGUCGUUCCAUAUAAAUGGAUUUUAAAUGAUCGAAAUAAAUAAUUUGGAGAAAAAUGAGUAAAUAAAUAAUUAAACAAACUACCAAUAUUCGAUAAAAUAAAAAAAAAUUUCGAGUCCUCACAUCCUCCCCUCUUUAAAAGAAUUUCGUCCUCGAAAUUCACACUUAGGAUAAUAGUCAUACCCUUAAUAGUCAUGCCUUUCAAAUUAAUCACUAACUUACACCCUCCGAUCCAUAUCUCACAAUUUCUAUUUACCCAAUUAGUAGUCAAACUUUAAUUCUAUCUUAUGAAUUUAGGGUUUUACAAAAAGUGUGUACGGUACUAGGUCACUGAGAACCUUAGAUAGACAAAUAAAAGGAAGAAUCAUAUCUCUAAUGACUUUAGUAGAAUCGGAAACAUGUUGAUAAUCUAAUGCAUAAACCCUAGCUAGUGCAUUAGAUCGACUUCCUCCAAUACUAGGCUGCUUAACGGCUGACUUUUCAGGCCUUUGGGUACUACCUCCUUCUUUUGGUACGGUCGGGCAUUUUGAUAUCUGGUGCUCGGUCCUACCACAAUACAAGCACUUCCCUUGUUUCCUAAAACAAUCUUUCUCCGUAUGGUUGAGCUUGCCACAAUAACCACAAACGACUUGGGGAGCCACAGAUUGACCACUUGGAGGUGUCCCUCUCGAUUGACCUCGUCCAUUGCGAUCUACUCUUGAUUGAGUCCCUUUUUGCAUGUUAGAUAUCUCCACUCUACCCAUCCCUUUUCCCUUUUUAAAAGGUGGGGCACUCUUAUCUGCCUGUCCCGAAUGGUUACUAGAAGUGCCCCUCUUCUUAGCAUGAAAGUCUCUAACUUGCAGCCUUGCACUCUCGACUCUCUGUGCUUUUUCUAAGACUUCAGUGAACGUAGAGAUUUGGGUUGCAGCCAAACCCUCCUGGAUUUCUACAUUAAGUCCCUGCACGAACCGUCUAAUCCUCCUCCGUUCAUUAAUCACCAAUUCAGGAGCGUACUUAGAAAACUUAGUGAACUUUCCCUCGUACUCUGCUACACUAAGGGUUCCUUGUUUCAACUUGAUGAAUUCAUCCUCCCUUUUCUCUUGGAUUAAGGGCGGAAGAAAUUUCUCAUUAAAUUCCCUCAUGAAAUUCUCCCAAGUCCAAGGGGUUUGAGCUCUUUCCCAUUUUCCCCUUAUCAGGUCCCACCAAGCGCGUGCCACUCCCUCAAAUUGGAAUGCAGCAAAAUUCACUCGCCUAUCCUCGGUAUAGUCUAAGGCGGCGAAUAUAUUGGUCAUUCUCUCUAACCAGUUUUCAGCUGCCUCGGGGUCGGGCUCUCCAGUGAACUUAGGCGGGUUGAAUUUAAGAAACCUCUCCAAGGCUCUAUCUUCUCCUCUAUCCUGUCCCCCAAGUUGGUUAAGCGGUCCUGGACCCUGUCUUUCAGCUAAGCGUUUUAGGAUAUCAGUCAUCCUAUUGAUGGCAGUAGCCAUUUGGUUAAACUCUAUAUUCUCUUGUCCUUGGGUCGGUCCAGUUGCCGAUCCUUGUUCAUUCCCUUGAGGUUGGGUCUGUCUAGUCCCUCGCCCAUGGCCUCGACCACUCUUUAGUCCUUCCAUUAUCUUAAGGGUGCCUAAUGCAGGAAAUAAAAGCGAUCACGCAAGAAAUUUCUUAAAACAAGAGCCGAUCUAGAAAACAUCAGAAAUAACAAUAAUUAACAUGUAUUUAUGCUUUUAAAAUUCAUAAAAUUAGCAAGUCGGGGGGGUAUGACAAAAAAAAACAGCACACAGGUGCCACAAAAAUACUUUUAGUCACAUACGACUAAAGUAAAGUAAAGUGCCUCAAAAGUAGGCCAUACAGUCAUACAAAAAUGCAAUGGCCUCAGCACUAGCAUCACCCCAGCUAAAUCUAACUACAUCAGUCAAAAGGGGCUAAUUUUUUUUUUUCGUUCAUUUCCAACUCAUAUCAAACUCUUGGAUCCUAUGGAGUUACAUAGGACCAUCCAUCAAUCUUUCUCUAUCUCUCUCUCUCUUAGGCUCAUCUACAUUCCACUUCUCUCUAGUCAAUAUUGUCCCACACUCAGUUAAAAUAUUCUGCGCCAAAUGUCUCAUUUCUCUUACUACAUGAACUGGAAAUCCAUUGACCUCUUGCACUUGCUCUCACGAAACAUUAGUCCAUUCUUGUUCCUCGCAAAUGGAGAUCUUAAGUCUUUAACGUUACCCUCAACUCCUAAGUACUCGGGUACAAGAAUCCGAAAUAAAAUAAUUCACAUCUCGAGCUGGCCAGUCCCAAGAGUAAAUCACCAUAUUUGAGAUUCGUACCCAACAUACAUAUUUGGUCUUUCCCAAGUAUUACGAUAAAAGAUUUAUACCUAUCACAUUCAUGAUUCACAGCUUACACUCUAAAAGAGUACUUAAGCCUUUAGUCAUUCAUAUGAUAAGGACCAUAACACCAUUUGACCCAAUCUCACCCUUCGCAGAUACCACGCGAAGCGGCUCUGAUUUUUUUUUUUCCUACAAGUGGCCACUUAACUUUCAAACCAAUCCCACAGUCCGGCAUCCUAAAUUUCAACCCUAAGAUACACUACAAAGAUCUGAAACCUAAACUCUGAUACCAAAUGUGACGCCCCACAUCUCCUUAAGGCGAACCAAAGGGUAUCCGCGGGACGCCUGCCCAACUCUCGCCAGGACUCAAGCAAUUCCAUUCAACUUAAAAUCAAACCGAACAUUUCGAAGAGAGCAACAUGAAUACAAAUAAUGCAGAAGCGUUAAAACUUAUCAAGUCACUUAACAUGUAACCAGUACAUCGGGUAAUCAUAAUACAACUUAAAUCCUAAAUACACGUCAGGGUCCAAAUUUUACAUUUCAAUUCCAAAAGUAUAACCCAAAUCAGGGCAUAGCCAAAAUAUAGUAGAAAUCCUACACAAAAGGACAACGAAGGGUUUCUCCAUACUUCCCCAAGAUUCGGUCCUGUUAAGGAAAACAAACUAAUAGGAUGAGCCAAUACUCAGUGAGGCCAAGAAAACACACAUGCAAACACAUAAUCCAAGUAGCAACAACAAUUACAUUGUAGGUAAGGCUAUCAAAUUCGAAUAAUUCACAUUUCGAAUAGAAAAAAUAAACAGAAACAAUUCAAGGAUACUGUAGCUCUCAGGAGUUAAAUUCCACGUAGUCGAGUCAAAGUCUUGAUCACAUCUCACGUUGACACUUCGUCAACCACAUAAGUAUCAAAUCCGUAGAUGCACCACUUUUCUUCGAAUCCCGUCACCGUUACACCCCCUUAUCGGGCCCGCUCAUCAAAGUUUUUGAUAAUACUCGAGUAUAUCAUGGCAAUACUGCACGAGUAAUGACGAACAAGAUCUCUCCAAUUGAUCAUGCUCUACAAAUAUCUCAUGGUUUGCUAAGCAAAUCGACCAAGCCCAUGCUGGCUCGAUUCGCAAAGUUAGCCAACGAGUUUGGGCGUCCCCCAAAUACGAAUACGAAUACGAAUACGAAUAUAAGUCGAUGAGCAACGCUCAAAUCGACAAUUCCAAAUAGGAAUCACAAAUACGGAUCACGUAUACGAAUCACAAAUACAAAUCACAUCCACAUUACCAUGUACAAGUCGGAUACGAAUUCACAUAGCAAAAUUCGAAUAUAAUUUCAUUUGAAAGAGAAUGAGAGCGAUAAAGUACACCCACGUCUCAAAAUUUCAAAUUUACAUAACGGAUAAGAAACAGAUAACCACUUAACAACAAGUUCAUGCACUUGACACUCACCAAUCGAAAUAAGGGAGUAAGUGCGUAAACGAGCCUUUAGGUGUUCCCCUCGAGAUCCUCUUGAAGGUCUCCUAGAGCACCUGAAUAAAUAGUAAUUGUCUAUUACACACUAUCGCUUAAAACCCCUAAUUAUCGAGGAAGAUUGCACACUUGUACAAUCUAAGAAAAUUUCACGAAAAUGAGCCUUGAUUACUCGUAAAUCGAGGCUAAAAAAAUGGGGUUUUAAAACACAAGAGAAAUCUGAUUUUCAUCUUUGAAAUCAAGUGUAAAACGGUUUAGCAAUAUCGAAGGAAAAUAGAGAGUUCGCAACUCUCAAUUUCCUUUAAGUUCGGAAAUUUCAGAUUUGUCACCCAUACUUUGACAAAUCGUAUCUCAUUCUCUACAAGUCCAAAAUUGGAAAAAUUUAUACCGUUGGAAACCUCUUGGAAAUUACUAAAAGUUCUUAGAAGACACUUUUCCUUGAAUCUAAGUGGAAAGUACUCAAAAAUGAGCUUGAAAUCACUGUUCCAGAAUGUUCAGGAUUGAGCUGGGGUUGGUUUUUCGCUAACUUUGAAAAUUUGGCAGAAUUCACUCGUUGCAAACUAACCCUUGAAAUUUAUAAAUCAAUUAGAGGUGCAAGUAAGGUUUAGGGAAAAACAAGCGGAUUGAGAAUUGGAGUUUCGAGCACCGAGAUACGGUAGCUCGAAGUUGGGAAAAUUCAAGUCUGGUGAACAAUUUCCAGAUUUGAGUUUCCAAAAAUUGGAACCUUAGCUAAGUGUCAAAACGAACUUGGAUUGGUAUAACAUUUUGCAGUAUGUUACUCCUAUAUGAAAGGUACCGCUCUAUCAAAUUUCAGGGAAAAAUACCUUCGGAAAGGGAGUUAAUUAAUCAUCCAAAGUUCAGGAAAAUUUCUAAAGCAACCUGUCUUUUGACUUCAUUUCCCAAUUUAAAUCGUUUAAUCAAGAAAGCUAUCCAACCAUGGUUCAUUUGUGAAAUAAAGAUCUAAGAUACAUCCAUGAUACCUUUGGUAAGUGUUUAGCAUCACGAACUUCAAUUAAUAAGAUCACUCCCAGGUUUUGUCCCAAAUCAGUCCAAGUAUUUCGGUUUUUCCAAAACAGGGCAGUCCUCUUGUUUUGGUCACAACUCAGUCAAUUUAACUCAGAAUGGGGCAUGGUUUAUGUUGUUGAAAACUAAAUUCAUAGGGCUAUAAUAUCACAGAAGAAAUCAUUCCAAAAUUUGGCACCCAACUAGUUCAAAAUCGAGCAUCAAUUUGCUGCCUUAUCACUUCAUUCCAGUUGAAAAGAGCAACAGGACAGCGAUCUUAAAACGUUUGGUUCGGCUCACUCACAAAGAAUCAGAACAUGCAUUUUAUCUCAAAUUAACGCCUGGAAUGUCUAGUUUCCAACGCCACCAACGGCACAUGAUUUUGACAUCCGAGGUCGGAGUUAUGGCCGAAACACCACAGCUGGUCAGAGCCAUACGUGAACAGUUUCCAGAUUUGCUAGUUUCACAAAAAAAAAUUCAUCUGCCCAACCAAACCUCAUUAUUUUUCAAUGAAAUUUUUCACACAUCUAAUACGUCAUAUAAACAUCAGAUUCAACCCAUUAGAUCAUUAAAAAUUGGCCUUAAAAUGGCCGAACAAGGCAACGGCAAAAUCGGAAACUUUUGCUUCUUGCACCCAAUGAAAUUUCUAUCAAUUACACACCAUUAAUCCAUCAUUUUAACCACUAAACCAACAAUAUAUCCACCAUCAAUCAUCAAAUCAGCAACAACCCAAGAGUGGGAGUUCAUAGAGCCCACCAUCAAAAUUUUCCAACAAUACAAGCUACCCAUGUGAAGAUUCAAGCUCAUAUGUGUAAUUUAACCUCCAUAGGAAAAGUUUAGAGUGUUGGAUCAUUACCUGCUUUGGUGGUUGUUCAAGUCUGAAUUUUCGGCCCUUUGAAGCCUGAAGAAAACCGUGGAAAUGAAGCUCUUCUCCUUGCCUAAGUGAAUCUCCAAGUGGUUUGUAAGUUGGAUGCAAAUUUUGAGAUGAAAUGGAGGAAGAUUGGUGCAAGAAUGAAGAAGCUUUUCUUCCUUUCUUUCCUUUGCUGUUUGGUCGGCUGUUUUGGUGUGAAAAUGGGAGUUCUAGCCGUGCCCUUAAGGUGAGAAAAGAAGGGUUUUGAUCUGGUGUGAUGGGUCCACUAAAAGCUUAAGAAUGUGUGGACAAAAUUGCUCCAAAAGUCAACUAAGGAUAGUGCGCGAACGCGCGCCUUUCGUGCUCGUUUCCUCUCGGGUUUGUUUCACUUGUGCACUAAACCUCUAAUGCACUUCCAUUCAUACUAUUAUUAUUCACUUUUAAUAGUCUAAAAUAACGGUCUUAAGUCCCUUAAUUGAUCGCGCGCGUAAAACGCGUAUUUCCAAUUUUGCGCGAUAACGUUUAACUUUCAAAAAAAAUUCUUAUAACGAUUGUAUUACUAAUUAAUACUUGAGCAUUUAAACAUAAAAAUACCUAAUUUGAGACUAAUGUACAUGUCUCUAAUUUUUUCCAAACUUAUUAUAUCCUCGAUUCAAUUAUUUAUUCCAAUCGCAUAUUCACUAUUUUUACUUAACGAGUCUUCAGAAAUUAAAUUUUGAAACAAGUCAUUUUAAAAAUAUAACUAAGCUAUAGAUCCUUUUAAUUAGGUCUAAAAAGGUUAGAAAAUAAUAUUUGGGGCGAUUGGCCAAAUAAAUAAUUAAAUGAGUUAGAAUUUGGAGUUUAAAAUCGGUAAAUUUUUGUGAGUCUUUACAUGAGUCGAGUAUUAAUUCCUUAAUGAACCUUUCUUAAUCUACCAUUGAUCAUUGUUAACUCUCUAAUAUCAAUACACUCUCGAUUCAAAUAUAGUCUCGAAAAACAUGCACUCGUUAUUCCAAACUAAACGAGUUUUCAAAAAAUGAAUUUUUCUUACAAAACGCUUUAAAAAAUAUAAAUGAGGCGUCGUUCCAUAUAAAUGGAUUUUAAAUGAUCGAAAUAAAUAAUUUGGAGAAAAAUGAGUAAAUAAAUAUUUAAACAAACUACCAAUAUUCGAUAAAAUAAAAUAAAAAUUUCGAGUCCUCACAUCCUCCCCUCCUUAAAAGAAUUUCGUCCUCGAAAUUCACACUUAGGAUAAUAGUCAUACCCCUUAAUAGUCAUGCCUUUCAAAUUAAUCACUAACUUACACCCUCCGAUCCAUAUCUCACAAUUUCUAUUUACCCAAUUAGUAGUCAAACUUUGAUUCCAUCUUAUGAAUUUAGGGUUUUGCAAAAAGUGUGUACGGUACUAGGUCACUGAGAACCUUAGAUAGACAAAUAAAAGGAAGAAUCAUACCUCUAAUGACUUUAGUAGAAUCGGAAACAUGUUGAUAAUCUAAUGCAUAAACCCUAGCUGGUGCAUUAGAUCGACUUCCUCCAACACGAGGCUGCUUAGCGGCUGACUUUUCAGGCCUUUGGGUACUACCUCCUUCUUUUGGCACGGUCGGGCAUUUUGAUAUCUGGUGCUCGGUCCCACCACAAUACAAGCACUUCCCUUGUUUCCUAAAACAAUCAUUCUCCGUAUGGUUGAGCUUGCCACAAUAACCACAAACGACUUGGGGAGCCACAGAUUGACCACUUGGGGGUGUCCCUCUCGAUUGACCUCGUCCAUUGCGAUCUACUCUUGAUUGAGUCCCUUUUUGCAUGUUAGAUAUCUCCACUCCACCCAUCCCUUUUCCCUUUUUAAAAGGUGGGGCACUCUUAUCUGCCUGUCCCGAAUGGUUACUAGAAGUGCCCCUCUUCUUAGCAUGAAAGUCUCUAACUUGCAGCCUUGCACUCUCGACUCUCUGUGCUUUUUCUAAGACUUCAGUGAACGUAGAGAUUUGGGUUGCAGCCAAACCCUCCUGGAUUUCUACAUUAAGUCCCUGCACGAACCGUCUAAUCCUCAUCCGUUCAUUAAUCACCAAUUCAGGAGCGUACUUAGAAAGCUUAGUGAACUUUCCCUCGUACUCCGCUACACUAAGGGUUCCUUGUUUCAACUUGAUGAAUUCAUCCUCCCUUUUCUCUUGGAUUAAGGGCGGAAGAAAUUUCUCAUUAAAUUCCCUCGUGAAAUUCUCCCAAGUCCAAGGGGUUUGAGCUCUUUCCCACUUUCCCCUUAUCAGGUCCCACCAAGCGCGUGCCACUCCCUCAAAUUGGAAUGCAGCAAAAUUCACUCGCCUAUCCUCGGUAUAGUCUAAGGCGGCGAAUAUAUUGGUCAUUCUCUCUAACCAGUUUUCAGCUGCCUCGGGGUCGGGCUCUCCAGUGAACUUAGGCGGGUUGAAUUUAAGAAACCUCUCCAAGGCUCUAUCUUCUCCUCUAUCCUGUCCCCCAAGUUGGUUAAGCGGUCCUGGACCCUGUCUUUCAGCUAAGCGUUUUAGGAUAUCAGUCAUCCUAUUGAUGGCAGUAGCCAUUUGGUUAACCUCUAUAUUCUCUUGUCCUUGGGUCGGUCCAGUUGCCGAUCCUUGUUCAUCCCCUUGAGGUUGGGUCUGUCUAGUCCCUCGCCCAUGGCCUCGACCACUCUUUAGUCCUUCCAUUAUCUUAAGGGUGCCUAAUGCAGGAAAUAAAAGCGAUCACGCAAGAAAUUUCUUAAAACAAGAGCCGAUCUAGAAAACAUCAGAGAUAACAAUAAUUAACAUGUAUUUAUGCUUUUAAAAUUCAUAAAAUUAGCAAGUCGGGGGGGUAUGACAAAAAAAAAACAGCACACAGGUGCCACAAAAAUAUUUUUAGUCACAUACGACUAAAGUAAAGUAAAGUGCCUCAAAAGUAGGCCAUACAGUCAUACAAAAAUGCAAUGGCCUCAGCACUAGCAUCACCCCAGCUAAAUCUAACUACAUCAGUCAAAAGGGGCUAAUUUUUUUUUUCGUUCAUUUCCAACUCAUAUCAAACUCUUGGAUCCUAUGGAGUUACAUAGGACCAUCCAUCAAUCUUUCUCUAUCUCUCUCUCUCUUAGGCUCAUCUACAUUCCACUUCUCUCUAGUCAAUAUUGUCCCACACUCAGUUAAAAUAUUCUGCGCCAGAUGUCUCAUUUCUCUUACUACAUGAAUUGGAAAUCCAUUGACCUCUUGCACUUGCUCUCACGAAACAUUAGUCCAUUCUUGUUCCUCGCAAAUGGAGAUCUUAAGUCUUUAACGUUACCCUCAACUCCUAAGUACUCGGGUACAAGAAUCCGAAAUAAAAUAAUUCACAUCUCGAGCUGGCCAGUCCCAAGAGUAAAUCACCAUAUUUGAGAUUCGUACCCAACAUACAUAUUUGGUCUUUCCCAAGUAUUACGAUAAAAGAUUUAUACCUAUCACAUUCAUGAUUCACAGCUUACACUCUAAAAGAGUACUUAAGCCUUUAGUCAUUCAUAUGAUAAGGACCAUAACACCAUUUGACCCAAUCUCACCCUUCGCAGAUACCACGCGAAGCGGCUCUGAUUUUUUUUUUUUCCUACAAGUGGCCACUUAACUUUCAAACCAAUCCCACAGUCCGGCAUCCUAAAUUUCAACCCUAAGAUACACUACAAAGAUCUGAAACCUAAGCUCUGAUACCAACUGUGACGCCCCACAUCUCCUUAAGGCGAACCAAAGGGUAUCCGCGGGACGCCUGCCCAACUCUCGCCAGGACUCAAGCAAUUCCAUUCAACUUAAAACCAAACCGAACAUUUCGAAGAGAGCAACAUGAAUACAAAUAAUGCAGAAGCGUUAAAACUUAUCAAGUCACUUAACAUGUAACCAGUACAUCGGGUAAUCAUAAUACAACUUAAAUCCUAAAUACACGUCAGGGCCCAAAUUUUACAUUUCAAUUCCAAAAGUACAACCCAAAUCAGGGCAUAGCCAAAAUAUAGUAGAAAUCCUAAACAAAAGGACAACGAAGGGUUUCUCCAUACUUCCCCAAGAUUCGAUCCUGUUAAGGAAAACAAACUAAUAGGAUGAGCCAAUACUCAGUGAGGCCAAGAAAACACACAUGCAAACACAUAAUCCAAGUAGCAACAACAAUUACAUUGUAGGUAAGGCUAUCAAGUUCGAAUAAUUCACAUUUCGAAUAGAAAAAAUAAACAGAAAUAAUUCAAGGAUACUGUAACUCUCAGGAGCUAAAUUUUACGUAGUCGAGUCAAAGUCUUGAUCACAUCUCACGUUGACACUUCGUCAACCACAUAAGUAUCAAAUCCGUAGAUACACCACUUUUCUUCGAAUCCCGUCACCGUUACACCCUCUUAUCGGGCCCGCUCAUCAAAGUUUUUGAUAAUACUCGAGUAUAUCAUGGCAAUACUGCACGAGUAAUGCCGAACAAGAUCUUUCCAAUAGAUCAUGCUCUACAAAUAUCUCAUGGUUUGCUAAACUUAUCGACCAAUCCCAUGCUGGCUCGAUUCGCAAAGUUAGCCAACGAGUUUGGGCGUCCCCCGAAUAUGAAUACGAAUACGAAUAUAAGUCGAUGAGCAACGCUCAAAUCGACCAUUCCAAAUAGGAAUCACAAAUACGAAUCACAAAUACGGAUUCCAAAUAGGAAUCACAAAUACAGAUCACGUAUACGAAUCACAAAUACAAAUCACAUCCACAUUACCAUGUACAAGUCGGAUACGAAUUCACAUAGCAAAAUUCGAAUAUAAUUUCAUUUGAAAGAGAAUGAGUGCGAUAAAGUACACUCUCGUCUCAAAAUUUCAAAUUUACAUAACGGAUAAGAAACAGAUAACCACUUAACAACAAAUUCAUGCACUUGACACUCACCAAUCGAAAUAAGGGAGUAAGUGCGUAAACGAGCCUUUAGGUGUUCCCCUCGAGAUCCUCUUGAAGGUCUCCUAGAGCACCUGAGUAAAUAGUAAUUGUCUAUUACACACUAUCGCUUAAAGCCCCUAAUUAUCGAGAAAGAUUGUACACUUGUACAAUCUAAGAAAAUUUCACGAAAAUGAGCCUUGAUUACUCGUAAAUCGAGGCUAAAAAAAUGGGGUUUUAAAACACAAGCGAAAUCUGAUUUUCAUCUUUGAAAUCAAGUGUAAAACGGUUUAGCAAUAUCAAAGGAAAAUAGAGAGUUCGCAACUCUCAAUUUCCUUUAAGUUCGGAAAUUUCAGAUUUGUCACCCAUACUUUGACAAAUCGUAUCUCAUUCUCUACAAGUCCAAAAUUGGAAACUUUAUACCGUUGGAAACCUCUUGGAAAUUACUAAAAGUUCUUAGAAGACACUUUUCCAUGAAUCUAAGUGGAAAGUACUCAAAAAUGAGCUUGAAAUCACUGUUCCAGAAUGUUCAGGAUUGAGUUGGGGUUGGUUUUUCGCUAACUUUGGAAAUUUGGCAGAAUUCACUCGUUGCAAACUAGCCCUUGAAAUUUAUAACUCAAUUAGAGGUGCAAGUAAGGUUUAGGGAAGAACAAGCGGAUUGAGAAUUGGAGUUUUGAGCACCGAGAUACGGUAGCUCGAAGUUGGAAAAAUUCAAGUCUGGUGAACAAUUUCCAGAUUUGAGUUUCCAAAAAUUGGAACCUUAGCUAAGUUUCAAAACGAACUUGGAUUGGUAUAAAAUUUUGCAGUAUGUUACUCCUAUAUGAAAGGUACCGCUCUAUCAAAUUUCAGGGAAAAAUACCUUCGGAAAGGUAGUUAAUUAAUCAUCCAAAGUUCAGGAAAAUUUCUAAAGCAACCUGUCUUUUGACUUCAUUUCCCAAUUUAAAUCGUUUAAUCAAGAAAGCUAUCCAACCAUGGUUCAUUUGUAAAAUAAAGGUCUAAGAUACAUCCAUGAUACCUUUGGUAAGUGUUUAGCAUCAAGAACUUCAAUUAAUAAGAUCACUCCCAGGUUUUGUCCCAAAUCAGUCCAAGUAUUUCGGUUUUUCCAAAACAGGGCAGUCCUCUUGUUUUGGUCACAACUCAGUCAAUUUAACUCAGAAUGGGGCAUGGUUUAUGUCGUUGAAAAAUAAAUUCAUAGGGCUAUAAUAUCACAGAAGAAAUCAUUUCAAAAUUUUGCACCCAACUAGUUCAAAAUCGAGCAUCAAUUUGCUGCCUUAUCACUUCAUUCCAGUUGAACAGAGCAACAUGACAGCGAUCUUAAAAUGUUUGGUUCGGCUCACUCACAAAGAAUCAGAACAUGCAUUUUAUCUCAAAUUAACGCCUGGAAUGUCUAGUUUCCAACGCCACCAACGGCACAUGAUUUUGACAUCCGAGGACGGAGUUAUGGCCGAAACACCACCGCUGGUCAGAGCCAUACGUGAACAGUUUCCAGAUUUGCUAGUUUCACAAAAAAAAAUUCAUUUGCCCAACCAAACCUCAUUAUUUUUCAAUGAAAAUUUUCACACAUCUAAUACGUCAUAUAAACAUCAGAUUCAACCCAUUAGAUCAUUAAAAAUUGGCCUUAAAAUGGCCGAACAAGGCAGGGGCAAAAUCGGAAACUUUUGCUUCUUGCACCCAAUGAAAUUUCUAUCAAUUACACACCAUUAAUCCAUCAUUUUAACCACUAAACCAACAAUAUAUCCACCAUCAAUCAUCAAAUCAGCAACAACCCAAGAGUGGGAGUUCAUAGAGCCCACCAUCAAAAUUUUCCAACAAUACAAGCUACCCAUGUGAAGAUUCAAGCUCAUAUGUGUAAUUUAACCUCCAUAGGACAAGUUUAGAGUGUUGGAUCAUUACCUGCUUUGGUGGUUGUUCAAGUCUGAAUUUUCGGCCCUUUGAAGCCUGAAGAAAACCGUGGAAAUGAAGCUCUUCUCCUUGCCUAAGUGAAUCUCCAAGUGGUUUGUAAGUUGGAUGCAAAUUUUGAGAUGAAAUGGAGGAAGAUUGGUGCAAGAAUGAAGAAGCUUUUCUUCCUUUCUUUCCUUUGCUGUUUGGUCGGCUGUUUUGGUGUGAAAAUGGGAGUUCUAGCCGUGCACAUAAGGUGAGAAAAGAAGGGUUUUGAUCUGGUGUGAUGGGUCCACUAAAAGCUUAAGAAUGUGUGGACAAAAUUGCUCCAAAAGUCAACUAAGGAUAGUGCGCGAACGCGCGCGUUUCGUGCUCGUUUCCUCUCGGGUUUGUUUCACUUGUGCACUAAACCUCUAAUGCACUUCCAUUCAUACUAUUAUUAUUCACUUUUAAUAGUCUAAAAUAACGGUCUUAAAUCCCUUAAUUGAUCGCGCGCGUAAAACGCGUAUUUCCAAUUUUGCGCGAUAACGUUUAACUUUUAAAAAAAAUUCUUAUAACGAUUGUAUUACUAACUAAUACUUGAGCACUUAAACAUAAAAAUACCUAAUUUGAGACUAAUGUACAUGUCUCUAAUUUUUUCCAAACUUAUUGUAUCCUCGAUUCAAUUAUUUAUUCCAAUCGCAUAUUCACUAUUUUUACUUAACGAGUCUUCAGAAAUUAAAUUUUGAAACAAGUCACUUUAAAAAUAUAACUAACCCAUAGAUCCUUUUAAUUAGGUCUAAAAAGGUUAGAAAAUAAUAUUUGGGGCGAUUGGCCAAAUAAAUAAUUAAAUGAGCUGGAAUUUGGAGUUUAAAAUAGGUAAAUUUUUGUGAGUCUUUACAUGAGUCGAGUAUUAAUUCCUUAAUGAACCUUUCUUAAUCUACCAUUGAUCAUUGUUAACUCUCUAAUAUCAAUACACUCUCGAUUCAAAUAUAGUCUCGAAAAACAUGCACUCGUUGUUCCAAACUAAACGAGUUUUCGAAAAGUGAAUUUUUCUUACAAAACGCUUUAAAAAAUAUAAAUGAGGCGUCGUUCCAUAUAAAUGGAUUUUAAAUGAUCGAAAUAAAUAAUUUGGAGAAAAAUGAGUAAAUAAAUAUUUAAACAAACUACCAAUAUUCGGUAAAAAAAAAAAAUUUCGAGUCCUCACAGUUACCCUAGACGUAUCUUCACCUUUAUCUCUUUGAGCGGCUUGGUGAGCAUCAAACAUAAAUCCCCUAAUAGGGGCAUCUAAUUAAUCUUCAGUCCCAUCCGGUUCAAGAUUUUCAAGUACCACAUCUUCUUCCCCCAUAGCUCGUACAUUAUUCUUGUUAGGAUCCAAUCACGAAAUAAUCAACUAUUGAGAUAUCAAGUACAUAACAAUUUAAUGACAAACAAACCACAAGCAUGAAAAAUAAAAGACACGUAAUAUUUAAUAUGGUUCGAUUUCACCAUUGAGCCUAUUCCACGGAGAGAAACUCGUUCUUUAUUAUGAGAGGAAAACCCUAUAUAAGAAUAUAACUUGAACCCAAAUCUAACCCCUGUAUACCAUCUCUCAUCUCCCAAGAACUCUCUUUCACCCCCAUGUAUAAGGCUAGCCCUUUUGUGUGCCCCUUAUGUGUCUUUGUGUAGUAUGCAAAUCCAUCCAUUUAUAGGAAAUAUUAUUUGACCAAAACUCAAAUAACAACAAGAAACCAAUUCUAAUUUCUAAAUUUACAUAGAAUAGGAAAUAACUUCUAAUCCUAAACAAAAUAGGAAAUUCUUUGACUACUAUUUCAAAUAACUAAAAUUAAUUAGAAAACUAGUUACUUUCACACAAAACAAGAACCCUACCUAAAAGAAAUUGAACCAAUUUUCUAACAAAUCUCCAUCUUGGUGAAAAUUUCUUUUAGCAACCAUUUGUCUUCAACUACCAAAUAAUAUGGUAUCGAAUUACGCAUUCGAAUCAAUACAGUCUUAAUACCAAAUUGAUUCAAUCGACAAAUGAAUAUAUGUAGUUACCUAGAAUCCAACCUCCAAUUGACUCGUAAGAAGGUGUCUCAAUUCACCGUCUCCCUAUGUAACAUUUUUUCUAAUCACUACUUGCAACCAGGGAUUCCCUUCUAUGAGCUCUAACGCUAAAUAUUGAGAAAGACUAACUCCCAACAAGGUUCGACUUUACAGGAGAAAGAAGCGUCGAUAAGGGAACCGCCUUCAAGGAAGAUUUCAGGAAGCAUUUAUUCAAUAAGAUUGAGUGGAGAUUUCUUGAUAAAUGAAGUGGUAAAGUCACCAUACUUUUUCCCAUUCUCAAGACUGUCUCGCCACGUAUGGUUUUCAAGACUCCACCUAAAAUGAAAAACUCGAAACUAUCAGAGUCUUCUGGUGAAUGGAAAUUAAAUCUCUUUUUUUCUUUACAGCACAUGCCACACUACCCAAAAAACAUAACCAAAAUCUAAAAUCCAUCGGGAUGAAGUAUCAACCGUUGGAAGUAUGGGAAAGUCUUCAUCGAUUCAUGUCCAAAAUCAACAUUGGACUCCAUCUUUUCCUUGACCAUUGAAUCAGCUACCAAUCCAUUUGAUCUCAAUAGUUACCCAGGAUCCAAUCAUGAACAACCAAACUCUUGAUCCAACCAUUCGGUUUGUUGGGAUCCAAGUGCUUGUGAGCAGCCCAAUUUUCACAACCAAACUCUGAUACCACUUGUUAGGAUCCAAUCACGAAAUAAUCAACUAUUGAGAUAUUAAGUACAUAAUAAUUUAAUGACAAACAAAUUACAAAUAUGGAAAAUAGACGACACACAAUAUUUGAUGUGGUUCGACCCCACCAUUGAGUCUACGUCCACGGCGAGAAACUCAUUCUUUAUUAUGAGAGGAAAAUCCUAUACAAAAAUAUAACUUGAACCCAAGCCCAACCUCUAUAUACCAUCUCUCAUCUCCCAAGAACCCUCUCUCACCUCCAUGCAUAAGGCUAGCCCUUUUGUGUGCCCCUUGUGUGUCUUUGUAUAGUAUGUCAAUCCACCUAUUUAUAGGGAACAUUAUUUGGCCAAAACCCAAAUAACAACAGGAAACCAAUUCUAAUUUCUAGACUUGCAUAGAAUAGAAAAUAACUUCUAAUCCUAAACAAAAUAGGAAAUUCUUUGACUACUAUUUCAAAUAACUAAAAUCAAUUAGAAAACUAGUUACUUUUACACAAAUCAAUACUCCUACCUAAAAGAAAUUAAGCCAAUUUUCUAACAAAUCUCCACCUUGACGAAAAUUUCUUUUAACAAUUUUUUGCCUUCAACUACCAAAUAAUAUGAUACCAAAUUACACACUCGAAUCAAUACAGUCUUGAUAUCAAAUUGAUUCAAUCGGCAAAUGAACAUGUGUAGUUACCCCGAAUCUAGCCUCCAGUUGACUUGUGAGAAGGUGUCUCAAUUCACCGUCUUCCUUUGUAGGAUUUUUUCUCACCACCACUUGCAACCGAGGAUCCCUUUCUGUGAGUUCUAACUCUUAACAUUGAGGCAACCAAGUAGUAAAAUCACCAUAUUUCUUCCUAUCCUCAAGACUGUCUCGCCACAUGUGGUUUCCAAGACUUCACAUAAAAUUAGAAACUUGUAAUUGUCUGAGUCUUUUGGCACAUGAAAAUUAAAUCUCUUUGUUUCUUUAAGACACGUGCCACACCAUCCAAAAAACAUAACCAAAAUCUAAAAUCCACCGGGAUGAAAUAUCAACCGUUGGAGGUGUGAAAAAGUCUCCACCGAUUCACGUCCAAAAUCAAUAUUGAAUUCCACCUUUUUCUUGACCCUUGAAUCACUUGCCUAGAUUCACCGUAUAUCUCCAUACUUUUCGACUUUCUAUCCUUCACCAUCAAAUUUUCCCAAGCCAUUGAAACAAGAAUACCAGUCAUUAAAUUGUUCAAUUAGUAACAGCUACCAAUCCACUUGAUCUCAAUAGUUAACCAAGAUCCAAUCUUGAACAACUAAACUCUUGAUCCAACCAUUCAGUUUGUUGGGAUCCAAAUGCUUGUGAGAAGUCCAAUUUUGCAAUCAAGCUCUGAUACCAUUUGUUAGGAUCCAAUCACGAAAUAAUCAACUAUUGAGAUAUCAAAUACAUAACAAUUUAAUGACCAAUAAGCCACAAACAUGGAAAAUAGACGGCACAUAAUAUUUAACGUGGUUCGACUCCACCAUUGAACCUACGUCCACGGAGAGAAACUAGUACUUCAAGUAACUAAAACCAAUUAGAAAACUAGUUACUUUCACAUAAAACAAGAACCCUACCUAAAAGAAAUUAAGCCAAUUUCCUAAUAAUUCUCUUGAAUACUGACAAUAUCCCUUUGCUUUCUUUUUGGUGCCAUCCUGCAAACACAAAUUAGGUUAGGGCAAAAUCUACCUACACUAAGCUACCCAAUCCUCAACUGGUAGCAACAGGUAUUUGAACACGAAAAUCAAAACUAAGUCAAUCCACACUAAGGUUGGCCACCUGAAGUGUAAAUCAACUAAUUCCAAUAUUCUAUCCAACAUACACACUACAUUACAUCAAACUUUCAAUAAAUAUUCAUUCUUAAGGUACUAUAAGUAAGAUUCACACCUAGGCUCUGAUACCAAAUAAAUGUCACGCCCCAUGUCUGGAAUUUAACACCGCCACGCCCUAGACAAUGCUAAAGAUGUAAGCCAACAAAUUUCCAAAAUAAAUAUAUUUACCUUUAUAUAAACUUUCUAAAUCCGCAAAUACAAGAUCAUCCAUAACAGCAAUUUUGCGUCUUUCAAAAUAAAAGCAAGAUCAAACCUUCUACAAUAUGUACAAUAUUCGAAUCCUAUUAUAAGGUAUCUAAUAUAGAAGUACAAAAGUUAUCCUCUAACCAAAAGUCAUCUCCAUCUCCAUUACCACUCCCAAGUUCUAUCAAGGUCCACUUCAAUGAACUCAUCAUUAACUGCAUAAUUAUAACAAAGGGGUGAGCGAAAUCUCACUCAAUAAGUAGCACAUGUAUCUCAUUAUUGGCCUGAGCAUGUUACAUACAUAAUAUAUAUUUCAAACGCCAUUAACUUACACAUAUAACUUUAUAAGAACAUGGUCAUUAUAAACAUUUCAAUGGCAUAUCAUACAUCACACACAUAAAGGAGCUCAAACCAUAAGACAACAAUUGACCCUGGAUAUCUAGUUAUUAACUUAAUCGGUUAACACGGUUCAUAGUGCUAACUACAAUACGAUUAGCCUAUUUCAUAUUGCUAAUGACAACACAGAUAGAUUGUUUCAUAUACCAACUACUUGUGAGGAACUAGUCCCGUCAAAAGUCGCUUAAACAAGAGCUCAACAAACAUAACAUUUCAUUUUACAAAUGACCAUGGCAAGAGUAAUAACAAAUAUCACAAAUUAUACUUGGUCCUGCCACUUUAGCAAUUAGACAAGUAGCUUUCAAAAUUCAUCUUUCAAAAGAUAAAGGAUACGUGCAUCACUUACCUUGAUCCAAUGGAUACCCACGCUAGUUCAAGUAAUCAAAAAAAUGGCUACCUUAUUCAUCUAGACAUAAUAAUAAAAUAUUCAAUUACAAUCUUAAAGAUACUAAACUACUCCAAAUUAUCAUAAAAAGGAGUCUAAUACUACCCUUAAUGACUAAUUCCCAAAAAAGGAUCAUUUCCUCAUCAAAGCAGGACAUAAGGGUUAAUUUUAAAGGGUCACUAACUUUAAGAAAUAUAGAAACAUGGCAAGAUAUUUACACAGAGUUAAAGCCCCCUGAAUCUAGUUUCCAACGCAACAAACAACACCUAAAUCCGAGUUUCCUACAUCAAGUUAUGGCCAAAAAACUGAAAUAUGGCUGUACAGAAAAUUUAAUCCAUCCGAGAAUUAUAGCCAAUCCAUCUAAGGAUUAUAGCCAUGGAUUUCUAGCACGUUUUCAAGGCAAAAACAAGUUCCAAAUUUGAUAAUCAAGUUCCAUUUCCAUCUCAAAUCAUCUUCCAACCUCCAUAGUUGUCAAAAUCAACAUAUUUUAGCUCCCAAAGUCAUGCAAAUACAUAAACAAUCUUGAAAAUGAAUUGUUAGCUCAAGUAAUUCUUUCCCUCAACAUUUCUCCUUUUUAUAUUGAUGAUAGCCCUAUACCCAUAUGAAAAUAGAGACCAAAACAAACUUUAUACAUCAUAGCCAUGGAAGUUAACCAAAAAUUUGAACCAAAUACUACCCAAUCAAAGAAAACCAAAAUCAUGUUCAAGGUUUCAUGAAAAUAUGUUGGUUAGUUGUCAAAGUAGAAUCUCCUUACUCCUCACUCCUUACUUGUGCUUGAUUUGUCAAGAAUUCUUCUUGAUUGUAAGGAAAAAGGAGAGAAAUAAGAAAGGGUUUUGUUGGAGAAGGAAGGAAGAAAGGAAAUGAAGAAGAUGAAGAAAUUUUUUGACAAGGAUGAAUAGUGAAAUCUCACUAUCACUUUAUUCUUUCAAAAUUUCACUUAUUAACACAUUGGUCACUCAAUUUAACAUCUUUCACUUUUCACCACUAAAUAGUAUUUCUUCGCAUAAAAUUCUCUACAAGACACUUGGGUAUCACAAUAAUUGUUAGGACCAACAAUUCUUAUAGACUGUCUGAGACAACAGUAUUCAUGGAUAUAAAUGAAAGCAAGAACAUUUGAUAUAGCGCUAGGGAUUUUCGUAUCAUCCUUGACAUUUAUAUGCAUCUCUUCUAUUUGGAUAUUUAUCUACAGCGAGUCUUUCUAUCGAUAAUGCCCAACUAAAUAAAAAAGAAAAGACAAUUUGCAUUUUUUCUUUUUUCUCUUUUUUUUCCCCAAUGUGUCAAACAGCAAGAAUGGUAACCUCCUGUUGGAUCCUUAAUCCAACGUUGGACUUAUAUGUGAAUAAUUAUGUAUUUCAAACUAUCAAAUAAGGUUAAAUUCAAUUAAAAUGAUCAAAUAUGAUUUGGACUUAAUGUAUCUAAUAAGGUGUGGGUCUUUAAUGUGUAGAGACUUAAAGGUAUUUUCUAUUUCUAUGAUGGAUUGAAAUAUGAAUCUAAAAGAUAACGGGAAUGCUAUCUAUAAAUAGGGAUAUGGUCCCAGGUCACAAGUAUUCUUAUUGUCAUAUUUUCUAGUACCACAAAACAGUUUUUUCCUAAUAUCCCAUCAUCAGAAAACAUACCAGAGAGAAACUAAAGUGCUCUCUCAAGAAUUGGUAAAUACGUGUUGACUUAGAAGGCUAUCCUAAAAUCUUCAAGGAUUCAAGUGCCAGUUUGUUAAUAUGAAUUUAGGUACGCUUCCGCAUUUAUAUUACAGUUCUAUUCAAAUAUCUAAUAUUGGGAUUCUGGAAAUUCCUACACCUUCUCCCUUUGAAAUUUCAGAGAACAAAACCAAAUAUUUCAUUCCUACUAAGUUAUGGGCACGCAUUACAUCAUUCCUACUAAAUUUAACUAUCUUAACAACUUAGAAAAAGCUAGCUACAUAUACAUUGUCUUCUUACAUAGAUAAAAGAUAUGCAGGGCAUAUAGAAAGAUCGUCCAAAUGGGUUUAAUUUGCUGCUUUUAAGCUUGACAUUUGUAAGACUUAUGACCGGAUAUCAUGGCAAUUUCUAUAGGCUGUUCUAAGAAAAAUGGUUUUUCCAGAAUCCAAGAUUAAUAUUGUUUUGAAGAGUAUCUUUUUUGUCCCUUACUCUAUCAUAGUUUUUUUUUUUUUUUAACUUAGGGUUAUCCGAACUUUUUGGCCAACUAAUUCCCUAAAACUGUGUAGAGUCUUAUUCUAAGGAUACAUAGUAAGAUAGUACACAGGAUUCGAUUACGGGACAUGUUAGUAACUAUCAAACUACGGAAUCAGUCGAACUACCCGCGGGGCACUCAAUCGUAGUUAAUGGAGUACUAUCAUCGGUAAUAUAUCCUACCAGAGGCCUUCGCCAGGGAUGCCCCCUCUGAGCAUCAUAUCUCUGCUUUAUACCAAGAGGCAUUGUCAGCUGCAUUAUGUUCUUUGGCAUCUAUAGAAUCUAUGUCCCCAAAUAUGAUUUUGAAAACCUAUACUUUGACUUACAAAAUCUUAAUUUUUUUUCAAAUCCAAUAAAGAUGGAAGGGAAAUAAAAAUAAACGAAUAAAAAGAUGGAAGGGAAAUAUAAAAAAAAAUAAGAAACAAAAAAUACAAAAUCUUUUUUUGACUACAAAUAUCAUUAUAAGUUUUUAAUCUAAAACUUUAAUGGUAUUUUCUAUUUCUUUUUUAUCUAUUUUUUUAUUUCAAUUUCUUCCUUUUUAUGUUUAGAGGAAAAAAUAAGCAACGAAAGGAUAAAUUUAUCAAUUUAUUAAUUUGAUUUUGCAUUUUACCGCUGACUCUAAGUUUUAAUGAAAAAACUAAGUCACAUUUUAUUUCAAAUCAUGAGGAGGUUAUAUAAAGUUUUCAUACCGUAGGAUGGUUAUGUUGUAAACCACCAAACCAUACGGGGUAAAAGGUAAUUUACCCAUUAAUCUAUGCCCACUAAGUUUCGUUGGAGCUAUAAUGCAUGAAAAAAAAAAGCAUGCGCUUUUCAGCAAAAUGGGGACAUAGACAAAACGCAAAUUUGAAAGUUUCAAUCUCAUAAACAUAAUAACCACCGGAUGUUUUCAUUCAUUCAUAGUGAAAACAAGAAGAUCCGCAGUCCUAGUUAAGCAAGCAAAGCUUAUGAGUCAGUUCAUUCAAAAACUUUCGGAAUUACCUGAAGAAUGAUGAGCUUUGGUGAUACUUUUUUCGGCAAACUGCAAGCUUUCUACAAUUAAGGUUGGAAUAAGAUUGGAUACAAACGUCCUCUUUAAAUACGAGACAUCAGUUUGUAAAGAGGAAGUUAUAUGGUUCUCUUUGGGAAGCUGCAAAUUUUGGUGAUUUGAAACCAAUUUGAAAAUUGACAAAAUUCGUGCUUUCCUUGGCAGCUACUGGCUUUGAUUGAAAGAGAUGAUCUUGGCAAUGGCUAUAUUGAGUCAAAAUCAGACCGUAACGAUCUUGGCUAUGGAAUUUGGAAUGUUUUGUUUCCACUUUCCAAAUGGUAGUUGGCUUGUUGCAAGAAAGAAGAAAAAUUGCAGUGGUCUUCAUUGGCAAAGUUUGAUAAUAUCAUGGUCAAAAUAUCUAAUUGCUCACGUGGGACAUCUUUUUGUAAGUAUUACUGUAUUAGUUGUCUUUUAACUACUUGUUCUAAUUUAUAGGUCAGGCUUUCCAUUAAGGAAUUGAAGCCACCGCCUUGCACUCCAAGGUGGUUCUGUGCACUAAUCAAAUUGAUUUAGAUGCAUUACAGGGUUAGCAAACAAAGUUGUGGGCUUUCAAAUGAUUCUAAUGGAAUUUACUAAUGAAAAGUCUUGCAACUCAGGACUCGUACUUCAAGCUUUGUGUUUGGCAAUUGUCAACCAAUGCCUUACCAAAUCUUAAAGCGGGCAUUUGCAGAAAAUAAAAAUUUUAUUUAAUUUAUUUAUUCAAGAUUUAAUAAAUUAAGUUGAUUUUAAUUAAACUAAAUUAAAUUAUGAAAGUCCUUUAUUUUUGAACUAACAAAUUGGACCAGUAUUAUGUGGGCUGUAAAAUCAAUUAAAUAUGCAAGGUCCAUUGAAAUUAAAAUGGAUUAAUGGAAUCAUUAAUUCACAAUGGACUGUUGGGCUAGCUUAUUACUAAAAUCAAUAUUAAAUAGAUUUCAAAUUGAACCAGUAUUAAACGAAUUGUUGGGCCAGCUUAUUGUUAAAGCUUUUCACAUAUAUUGUUAUAAUAAAAUAUUUCAAAACAUCCGUAAAAAUAGUUAAUCCAAACAGAGACAUGGUUUUUUUAUAUUACUUUAAUUAAUUUUUUUUUUCUUCUUUGGCUGCAAAAAUUACGCACCACCAUAGGAAUAAUUCACUUAAUGAACUUCGGAGGUCUCUGACUAAAAAUAGCGGAGCAAUCAUUGAUGGCAAUUUGGCAAUGGAAAUGAUGGCAUUUGACCAUGUUAUUAAUGGCACUUUAGAUCUAGCCUCAAAAAAUGCUGAUUCUAAACAUGAGGAUGGUUUCUUAGAAAAAGGUUGUCCUCUUUGUUCUCUUGCUACGGUAUUUGAAGACAAUCACUAUACGCAAGCAAAAAUGCCUAAUCCCUCCUUUCACUCAGUCGCUUCAUUUUUCUUCAUUUCUCACUUGUUUGUUUUUUGGAUUUAUAGAAGAAGUGCCUUUUAAAUUUACAGAACAAGAAGAAGAUGAUGAAUGCGAGAGAAAAGAACCCUGUGGUCAUAGCACAUUGUGCUUCCUAAAUUGCCCCUUCAUUAUGUCUAGUGAAUCACACAACGGUGGAAUCUGACAGAAUGACUCAGGAUCAAAAUACAUACUUUAGAUAGUUUAGUAGCCAAAAUCAAAUUGUUAAUAGUUCAGUGACCAAAACUCAAUGAUAGCAAAAGUUUAGUGGCUAAUGAGGUAAUUUGCUCGAAAAAUAAUGAUAGAAGCAGCGAAGGGUGAAAUUUGGAUGUUCAUGCUACUGAGAAAGUUUUUGUAUGACUGAUUCCCUGGAGAUUGCUAUCACUUGAGGUAGGGGAAACAACAAUGGAGGCUCUCUGUCUUGGAGGUGUCUGAAGCAAAAAGUCCUGGGCAGAAAUGUGAAACAAAAUCUGAAUUGUGGGCUUGUGUUUGCUGCUGAUGACUGUAUUAUUGUCCACCGAAGUCUUCCGCCCAAACAAGGUGACCCUCCUAUUAUCCCUGCCUCAUUAUCUACUUCAUGUUUUGCUUCUACUAACUCCCCUACCACAUAAAACGAGUUUUGGGUCGAGGGUUAGGUUAGGGCGCUAGAACUCGAGAAGGGGAUGAAGAAGAUUGAAGCUUCUGUGGUCUGGAGCUUAGGAUUGAGGAUGCUGGAGUUGGGUUUGCGUUUUGCCCGCCAAUGAUCACCCUGAGUUGCUUAAUUUGGUAGAGAAAAAUCAGAACAUGGGAGUGGCCUGGAGGCAGGUUACUCCAUGCCAGCGACCUAAUUAAUAUUGAUAUGGGUAAAAUACAGUAAACCCCUCUAUGGUUAGGAAAAUAAAUAUGAAACUCCCUCAUUGUUUAAAAAUACCCAUUUAACCUCCCUUGUGCUUUGAACAUCUUUGGAUUUUGACUGCUAACAGGUUGGGAAGCCAGUAAUAAUAUAAAAUACCAAAAAUACCCUCAUUUAUAAUAUCUCAAAAGGCACAGCUGCAAUUAGUAGAUCUUGAGUGGUACUUCAGGUGCAGAGAGAGAAAGUGGAUGAAACCCUAAACCUAUAGCACUAUCUUCUUCCAUGACAUCAAUAAACUACAGAAUUUUCGUGUGUAUCUCACAGAUGAAGAAGGCAUUUUUGUGCAGAUUGAUCGAGGGUUGCGAAGCAUCGAGCAUAGCGAUUAACAAGGUAAUCUCAUAUCUGAACCCUAACUUUACUUGUGUUGAUUGGUUUCAUGGUAGACGUUUGGUAGUAUAUUGUUGGAGAUAUUUCGAAACUUGGUAAAAGAAGUGAUAGCUCUGGCUUAGUCAAAAGUAUUGUCGACAAUCUUUAUCGAAAAAAUUUAUAAAAAAAAUUGCUAAGUAUGCAAAAAGGAGAAAAGAAUGGGUCUUUGCGGAGUAAUCUAGACUAUUGUGGUCAAUACUGGUAUUGAUUAUGUUUUUUAACCUUUUAGAUGAGUGUGUUAAUGUUGACUAUGCUUUUUUGAAACUAAAAGUGUAUGAAAUAUUGCCUGUCGUUUUCGAUACAUCUGAAAAUUAAAUUAGUAAAUUUAUCUCUGUUACUUUGGUUUAGAUGUAUAAGAAUGGAAGAUAAUCUGUUUAAGAGUAUAGACAUAUACAUGCAUUAUGGUGGAAAUUUCAAAUGAAACUGAGAAUUAGAUACACCGGCGAACAAGUGAGGAUAUUUUGUGGAUGGAACCCUGAUGAAUUUUCUCCAUUUGACUUUCAAAAGAUGUAUGACACAAUUGAGUGUGGUGUAAGCAAUAUGAAUUUCUAGUACUCUAUCCCCUUUCAUGACCUUGAUGUUGGUGUUGUUAGUAUUAAGGAUGAUGCCGACAUCGAAUUAUUGACAAUAUGUUAUGAAAGGCUUCCAGAAAUACACAUAUAUGCUGAGAAAGGGCCUGAACCCAUUGAAGUUGUCUUUGGAUGAAUAAUUAUUGUACAAGAAAGUGACUGGUGAUAGCUUACUUGCACUUCCAUUUCGUGAUAAUUGGCAAUUGGUGUGUUCAGAUUGGAUUAUCCGCAUUUGUUAAAGGCAGUGAUAACUUUGACCCUACAAUUAUUGGGAAUGAGUACAAUAAUGAUAUUUCACAUAUUAACUAUAGAAGAAAAGGCAUCUGUGAUGAAGUGUCAUCACAAAUGGAGUUGGAUCCAAUUUUUGUGGGACCACAUAGAGAGCAGAUACAUGAUUAAACUAAUAAAUCCAAGUGGAAGAAAACAAUAAAUGGUAAAAAAACUGAGUGGCAAAGAGUAAAAUUAACUGCAAGGAAGUUAGUCCAGCAGUUAGUUAAAGAGAAGGAAAAAGUUGAUACAACUACAGAGGUCUAGCAGUCUCCCACAAGAAAUUCAGCAGAAGAAACAACAUUUGGGACAGAUCCAACAGAAGAAACAACUAAUUUGAGGGGAGAAAAAAUAGCUGAUGAAGGUGGAGAGAAAGAUGAUGUCGUACCAGACUAUUUAGAUCUCCCGGACUGGCUAAGAGAAGGACUAGAAGGGCCUAAAGAUUAUGAUAUAUUUGCAGGCUUAAAUGGUCAAGAAUCAACACAGGCAUCUAUUAAUUCAGGAUCUAUAAAUUUUGUUAGAGUUGGUUCAGAGUAGCAACAAGAAAAUUAGCAAGCCAAAGCUAGAAAACAAGCUGGUAUAGAUCAACAACAAGAAAAUUAGCAGGCCUAAUCCAGAAAACAAACUAGUUCAGAGUAGCAACAACAACAUCAGCAAUCGAAAUCAAGAAAACAAGCAAAGAAACAGACCCAUGAAGAGAGGAGUCAACCAACACCAGGUGUGGAUGAUAGAUGCCGUGUCAAUGAGCAGGAAGAGAACUGGAAUGACCUAGUAAAGGAUGAUGAAAAGCUAUUUGACAAUGGGAUAAGAUCUGAUGAAGAAAGCAUCCCUGUUUAUAGUUACUUCAAUGCGGAGAAAAAGUUUAGGAAAGAGCACUUUGAACUAAAGGUUUGACAGAAAUUUACUAGCUUCUCCAAAUUUAGGGAGACUUUAGAGGAGUGGGAAAUUAGGGAGGGUAUGAGCACAAAUACAUCAGAAAUGAAGGCUCUCGAAUCACAACUAAAUGUGCGAAGGGGUGCAGUUGGAGAAUUCAUGCAUGCAGAAUCCAGAGAACAAAGACUUUUAUGAUCAAAACUCUUAAGCGAGAGCACCAUUGUGGUAGGGAUUAUAGCAAUAGACAUGCUACUUCAACAUAUCUAAGUGAAAAAUUUCAGGCCAAGGUGAGGGAUGAUUGUGGGUGCAGUACUCCGGGCAUAGUAAAUGAGACAAGAAGACUAUUUAUGUUAGACAUUAGUGGGAAGAAAACUGCCAGAACAAAGCAGAAAGCAUUAGAGGCACUUAGGGAAAAUGACAUGAAGCAAUAUCACAGGCUUUGAAAUUGUGUAGCCACUGUAAAAAAGUCCAAUCCUGAUACUCAUAUUUCACUGCAAAUUGAUAGGCAAAGUGUUGAGGAAAAAGCUACAUUUCAGAGGAUAUACUAUGGAUUAGGUGCUCUGAAGAAUGGUUUUUUAGAAGGUUGCAGACCUAUAAUAGGACUAGAUGGCUAUUUCCUAAAGAGUCCCUUUGGAGGUUAGCUGCUUACAGUCAUGGGUAGGAAUGCCAAUGAAAAUAUGUUUCCUAUUUCCUUUACUAUUAUUGAGGUAGAGAACUAUGACAACUGAUAAGUGACUAAUUUACGUAAUAAUUGGAUGAUAUUUUAUAUUAUUUUUAGUCACUUUGGUUAUAUUAUUGGAAUAAAAUGAAUCAUUUUGGCUAUAAUUGGUGAAAAAUGCUUUUAAGUAAUUAAAUGAAGUUUUUAUCAUUUUUUACUUGGAUUUUGUGCAUUUUGACAUAUUUUUGUAUUUUGGCUAUAACUUGAGCUAAAAUGAUCGGAUUGAGAGAAUUCUUAAACCAAUUUGAAGAUAAGAGAUAGAUCUACAACUUUGGUGAAGACAUCUGAAUCCAGUUUGAAGGUUUUCCAGGUCAAAAAGCCUAAUUACAGUAGCUAAUUUCCAUUGAUCGAAGCUGAAACAGAGCAAUGAGCAGUCAAAGGUGUUUUGGUCAUUUUGCAGCCUACACAGAUCCAAAUGAGGUGAUUCUUGAUGCAUUGGAAAGCUAACCCAAGGGGCUACAAGUUUUAUGUUUUGGUCAACGGCUAAAUAAGCUUUUAUCAUCAAGAAAAGUUCAGUUGAAGUUGAUGCAAAAGUGGAGCAGAGCUGGAAAUUGAACAAAAGUGCACCAAAAUGUCACUGUAGUAAUCCGGCCGGAACUUGGCUGGAUUUGUGGCCGGAUUUGUGGCCGGAUUGUGGUCAAAGAAGGCUGCUCUUUACGCGAAAAACUCAAUUUCACCUCUACUAAGUCACAUGUAAUACUAGACAUGUGAGAAACAUUACCAGCUGUAAAAGGGAAGUGUAGGCCUCAUUUUCUUGACUUCCUUUGUCUUGAAAUAGUCAAAUCUUGCAAGCAGAAUGGGAUCAUCAUAUGGGAGAAUAGAGAGACAUACGGGAGAAACUUGGAGUCUGCAAAAAUGUAAUUCUUCCAUUUUCCUUAGCGUAGGAUAGUUUUAGUUUUAGACAGUUUAUCCUUUCUUGUAUGUUAGCUACAUGAAGAGGAAGAUGGAGGAUGAAGAAGGCAAGAAAAUGAACUCAUGUGACAAGGGUUACAUUCCUUCCAAACUCUUUAUCUUUUGUACUUGAUUUUAUUGUUUAGUUAAUAUACAAGUCUGGAUUUUAUGUUAUUUAUGUGUCUCUAAAAUUUAUGCCUUGGGUUUGGUUGAACUUCCUAUGAUUGUUAGUGUUUAUUAUUUAACUAUUUGAUUGCUAUGAUUUGAGCAAGUUAUUUAGUACUUUAGCUCUUUAAAAUCAUGAUUAAUCUGGUAUCAUUGAUUGUGAUUAUCUAAGGUGUCGUUUUUGCAAUGAAAAUUGAGAUUUAAUACUAUUUCAAGAAGUGCUAAACACAGGGAGUACACUCACGAAAGUAGAGGUGCACCUAUGUGGUUUUUAGUGAUUCAUUUCAUGUAAUUCACUGAAGAAAUGAACUUGUAGCUAAUUUCAUAACCAUGAGAAUAGGUAUGGAUUAGUUAUAAGUAUAAUUGAUUUACUACGAAAGUAGGAUUCAAAUGCAUAAGGAAAUUACACCAUAACUAGCCUAGAUGUAGUACUCAAUGAUCCAAAUAUAGCACUUGCAUGAGUAGUUAGGGAUACCACAACCUAAUGAGCUUUUAUUUGUUAUUUUGUAUAAUUUCAGUAGGUUAAAUUUGUUAUAAUUCAUUGAUAGUCUAAAUAAUAGAGAAGCUUUAGUAAUACCGGUAAUUGUUCACUCUUCCCUGUGGGAUCGACCCAAUAUAUACCCAAAACUACUAGUUGACCUGUAUACUUGCAGUGAACGGGUGUAAUUCGAUUUUUUUUUAACUUGUACGUAUAUUAAAAUCCCGUCAACAACUAGAGCUAGUUUUUGAGAGAAUUAAUCACCCAAAUUGGAGAAGGAAACAAAGGAAUGGCUUACACUUUCAUUUCGGAUAGGCAAAAGGGUCUUGUCUAUGUAAUUGAGGCGCUGUUCCCUGAAUUAGAGCACAGCUUUUGCCUAAAACACAUGUUCAAGAACUACAAACAAAGAUUCAAGAAUCAAAACCUUAGAGACAUGUUCUAGGAAGUUGCUGCAGUAGCAAGUAUGCCAGAGUAUGAAACUGCCCUAUCAAAUCUUGAAAGGGUUGACCCAAAGGAAGGUGACAAACUAACAAUUGCAGGAUGGCUCAAACGGUUGCCUCUAAAGCUUUGGUCCAGAGCCCACUUUAGUACUAUUUGUAGAAGUGACACGUGCAUCAACAACAUUAGUGAGUCAUGGAAUAAUUACAUUCUAAAGGGUAGAGGUGAGCCAAUAAUAACAAUGCCGGAGUAGAUUCGGAGGAGAUUAAUGCAAAGGUUGGUAACCAAACGAGAGGGCAUGCUGAAAUAUAGCAGCACUUUAUGUCCAAACAUUCACGAGAAGUUAGAGAAACUGAAGAUAAAAGCAAGAAACUGUGUCGUGGUUUAUGGAGGAAAUAGGAAUUUGGAAGUUGAUGGCUAUGGAAGGACUAAUGUCAAUUUGGAUAUAAAGACAUGUACCUGUAGUCAUUUUCAACUUAGUAGAAUUCGAUGGGUGCAUGUGGCUGCUUGCAUUCAAAGCAGAAAGUUGGAAUUCGAGCAAUUUGUUGAUGCUUGUUACUAUAGGGAAGUAUAUUUAAGGGCCUAUAACUUCACAAUUGGUCUUGUUCUUUCGAAGCAAUUCUAGGUGGAUAGCAAAAUGCAGUAUUUGAACCCACCAUUGGUGAAAAAACAACCUAGUAGGCCAAAGAAACAGAAGAAGAAGGGUCCAAAAGAACCUACAAAUCAGCAUAAAGCAAGUAAGAACGGGUCUGGCAGUCUACUGGCCGAGGUGUUUGAAAUUUAGACAUAACAUUAGAACCUGCAAAUCAGCAAUUCACCCUAAGUCCAAGCUAUACAAGAUAAUGUAACAUUUCAGAACCAAAUCAUUUCUCUAUUUUGUUUUGUUGCUGCUUAUACAUCCAGCCAUUUCGAUGUGAACUAUAAGCACCUAAAUGUGGUCUAACAGUUUCAAAUGCAACAUUCUGGCUUCUGUAGCUCAGGCUAGUGUCGCAAGUACUACUGCUACUACUCUUUCACAGGUACUAGUUCUCAAUUGCCUAUUUUUGGGUAUUGUGACCUGCUUACACACUAAGCAGUGCCACUUAUAAGCAGGAACCAAGUUAGCCUAUAAGUGGUACCAAUCAAGAAAGCUAGAAGAGUAAAUCUUCAAAGAGGAAGCAACCAGCUACAGGAAUGUCAAGAUUGCAACAUUGUGGCUCUAAGAGACCAAAAACAUGAACUAUAGUUAUCUCUCUUUUGUUUGUCGAAUAUACUGGUUAUGUUAACCACAUUGAUCCCUUCUGGGAUUGAAUCGUAAUAUUUAUUGAAACUAGAAAACUCAGAUUUUGGUUAUGUUUUGGUAGAUUGAUACCAUUAUGGUAUGAAUGUAGUAAUAUGCUUCAUUUUUAUGGCAUUCGUGGCAGUAUUGCUGGUGACCCUUUUUGGGAUUGGAUUAUAAUAUUUACUGAAACUAAAAAACUCAAAAUUUUGGCCUUAUUAUGGUAUAUUGAUACCAUUGUGGUAUGGAUGUGGCAAUAUGCUAAUGGUAUCUUUGAAAUAGAUAGGUGAUAUCUUUACUAAAAAUGAUUUAAUUUGACAAGUUCAUUGCAAUGUAAUCUCCAGUCUUUCAAUUUUUUUGUCAUGUAUUUUUUAAAUGUCCUGCAACAAAACAAUGUAGCUUCAUUCGUUCAUCUUAAUUAAAACCAGAAUGUCUACUUCAUUACAUCCAAUUGAAACUAGAUGUGGCAACAUGUUGGACAUAACAAAAUCUACCAUUGUGCCCAACUCCCUCAUCUACUACACAUUUUUUAUACUAAUUUGUCCUGAACAUUCAUCUCAUACAUAUAACAACUAGUGACAAAAGAGACACAACUACAGACACCAUCAUCAUCAUCUUCAUUAGCCCCAUCAUUGUUUCGACAUUGUGAAUCUUUGACUGUAGUGUCUCAUAAUCAUAUUAUAGUUAUUACUUUCCAUCCCUUGCCCAGAGAUGAAAAAUCUUUCCGCCAUUGCAGAUCCAGUUGGUGAAACUCCUUCCAUGUAUGGAUUUUGGCAGGAUGAUUCAUUAGUGCCUCCCUCUCUACUAAUUGGGUUGCAUCAUGUCCAGAAUGAACAAGCACCAUUUUCACAUACAAAAUACAACAUAUCUUUUGAUGGUUUUUUAGAUUCCACUAUCUUAAUCUUUGCUUUAUUCUUGCAAAAACAUCAUCAAUUUUGGUACCUUAGCUUGACAUUUUCGGUUUUUUUCCUUGAACAAAGCUAUGUUGUGCCCUCCAAAGCUACGCUCUUAUGAUUUUUGUCUUAAUUUUGUGUCUCUCUGUCCAAUUUUUCCAUUUGCAGAAUAACAACUAUGGUGGGUUUCAUUUGUAAGAGACAUGGAGAGAAAAAUGGGAAUGAAAACUAGUCUCUUUCAGUCACAUGCGGCCAUUAGGUCGCAUCAAUGUCACUUGCUAGCUUCCUAGCCGGUUAGCAGGUAAAAUCCAAAGAAAUCCAAGGCACCGAGGGAGGGUUAAGUGGGUGUUUUUAAAUAAUGAGAGGGUUUUGUGUUUAUUUCCCUAACCAUAAGGGGGUUUACUGUAUUUUACCCUAUUGAUAUUGGUGAGGUGGAAUUUGGGGCAGAACCCCUCUAAGAAUUUGUGUUUCUCCCCAGUGUCUCAAGAGGUAAUCAGGCCCUGCUUGAAUUCUAACCCUGCUGGUAGACCUAGUUUGGAAGAACUAUUCAGGGUUAUUUGUUUAAGGACCUUAAGCCAUUUGAAAAGGUGGUAGGGAAAAUCUUUGAGGUGCGCAUUUUUUAUGGUAAGGGCACCUACAAACUGGUGAAAAUUCUUGGCCACCACCAGGGGGAAUGUCUGGUUUACCAAGCCAAGUAUGAGCCCAUCAAAAGCACUGAUCACUCUGUGGGUUUGAAGGUAAUGGAGAAGGAGAAGUGAGUUGCUCCAGCAAUCAGCUGAGAUCAGUGUGGAUGCUAAUUCCCAUCCGUGUAUCAUCGGGGUUAUAAACGAAUUUGCAAGCGGUACAAGUUAUUGUGCCUCGAUGCCCUUAUUUGAUAAGGGUUCAUUGAGGCUUCUUUCAAGGAAUCGAUGAAAUGAUGGUUGACCCGACGAUUGUAUUGCCCUGGUUCGGAUGGAACCCUUAAAAGGUCUUGGUAUCCUCCAUGAAAAUCAUAUGGUUCUCAAACGUGCCAGUCCAGACGAUAUUUUUUCUGUAGGAAUCCUUUAUGCAUUGCUUUGGGUCAUGAUGCAACUCUGUGUCAUGCUUGGAAUUCUGACAAUGCUAAAAAUUCAGUGAUAAAUUCAACGAUUGAUGAAUUCAGUCAUGCUUCAGAAGUCUAUGAUACUGGGGAGGCUUAUUCCUCGAAGGCUGACAUAUGGCUCCUCAGAUUAACUGCUUUGGAGUUGGCCUAUCACCGCAUCCCUGUCAAGACAAGAGCAGGCUUAAUGGUUGUUAUACAUCAAUCAAAACAAUUGUUUGCCUACAGGACUGAAGCACCGCUUGUCUAGGGAGAAACGAGACAGUUCGCCAGCAAUUUCGGUCACUUUGUCAGCCUAUGCCUCCCUGAAAAUCCAGCACAAAGACCAUUAGCUAUCCAGCUGUUGGAACAUCCAUUCUUGAGAAGUUGCACUAGUCUUGAAUGUUUCGAUAAGGUGCUUUAAGUAAUAUGGCCAUUUUGAAGCUUCUCCUCCCCUGAGUCUGCUUGAAGUAUUUCGUGUUUUCGACUUAUUGUUUUUGAUUCUUAAAGGUGCUCAAGUAAUGUGGCAAGUUUGAAAAGUUCUCCUGCCUAUGUUAAAAUGAGAAAUUUCAUAUUUUCGGUGUACUGUUUUUGUGCUCUUAAGUUUAUCUUGCUUACUUUUUGACAUCUUGUGAAAUUUAAGUAUUUAGAUUUUUUUUUAAAAUUUUGGGUUAAUUAUUGACCUUUUGAAAUUGAGAAUGCUUGGGUGUUGGUGUUAUAACAAUUUUUUUUGGGUUGCUUCUUCUCAAAUUGUUACUUGGGAGCUUUAUUUUCCCCUGAUAAGAAGAAGAUGAGGCAUCAACAAUUAUUAUCCCUGGCAAACCAACAUUUAUUUGCAACAUGUCUUAGUAUAAUGAUGGAAUAUUUUAGUGCCUUCAGAAUCAUAUUGCAUUUGGUUAUGCAGGUAAAAUUUUCAUAGGAAGGGGAAAAUUAAAAGUAGAAAUGCCUUUAAUAAUCAUUUCACCAGUCAAUAAUUCCUUCACAAUGCCAAUUGACAAUGGAUGUUGAAACUUUGAACGCAUAAAACUACUUUAUUGAGAGGCAAUUGGUGACAUUGUGUUUACUGAAGUGAUUCUUUGCAAUGCUACAGAACGUAUGAACUAGUUAUAAAACCAAACCGCAUUGAUAGCCUCUACUCGUGUCCUACCUCGUGAGAGCUAGAUUUGCUAAUACUUUGAAAAUUAAAGUUUUUUCACCAUUUUAUCAUUUUUGGCACUGACGGGCUAUGUUAUUGCAUCUGGAUAAUCCACCUAAUUCUAUCCUAAAAUUCUAUGCAGUUGUGUUUUUCUUCUUCAUCUCCUCAGAUCUUUUUUCUUUUUUCCCCCCCUUUCCUCUCUGUUUUGAACUUAUGCCUCAUGGUAUGCCUAACUUGCGACCUUCAUAAUGAUAUGGCCUAUUUCUUAAUGUCAGUUUGCUGGCGCCUUCAAGCAAUCUCAAGUUCUUAGGAUCAGAGAGUUUGUCCAAAAUGGUCUUAUUUCUGUAGCUCUUUUACGGAAUAUUCCAUUCUGCCGGAGCAGCAGACCUUUUGGCAAAAUGUACUUGUGGCUUCAAUGUUUUGGAGCAGUUAGUCUUGCCUUGUCCUUUUUUGCAAUAUCUGCUGGAUUUGAAUUCUACUUAACAUCCUCGAGAAAGAAGAACAACUUGUAGUUUCCACUCUAGACGUGUAUUAUUGAGGUUGACGUUAGUCUGUUUUAGUUCUUUGAUGCUUGCUAAAUUGUGUGUUCAGUGCUUUGUACGGUUGUGUGACUUUCUUCAAGCAAUCUGUGCAUUGUUGUUUUCUCAUUCAGAAAACUUGCAAUCCUUAAUAGUUGUAAGAAAUGGAUUUUCUGUCUCCUGAUUUCAAUUAAACAUGUAUGUAUGUGUAUCUAGUCUUUCAAAAUGGAGCUUCUGAAGUAUCAGCAUAUUUUACACUUGCAGACACUAAUUCUAGAAAAACUAGAGAUAAAUAUAUAGCGAGUUCUUUCAUCCUUGUAGUCACUGUGCUGACAACUUCCAAAGUCUCAUGAAGAGCUUAUUGUUUCCUAAAUUGUCCAUUAUGUUUGACAAUUGGCAGUAGUUCAACUUGAGGAUAUGUUGGCUUCUAGCCACUCUGGUAUCUUCAGUGCUUUAGUCUAGAUAUAUAUUGAACUCUUGCUAACAUCCUGUUCAGCUAGUUUGCUCGGAUAUGAGGUCGAAGUGGCCGGUGUGUAUCGUACUGCAGGAAAUCAGACAUUUGAUCCAGCGGAUGGGUGCAUCUCUUCACCAUAUAUUCCGUGAGGCCAAUUCGGUGGCGGACGCAUUGGCUUCUCUGCAAUUGGGAGGGCAGCAGUACUACAUCUCAGAUGCGGCUCUGCCUAUCAGGCCCAGAGGAGAGGCUCUUCUGGAUCGUCACGGAGUACCUCGGAUCCGUGAGGUGCUCACUAAGGCUUGAUUGUUUAUGUCCUCCCUUCAUAGAUCAUAUUUCGUACACUCCUUGUAAACAUUCUUUUUCUUAUCAAUAAAAUGAGACAAGUUGAAAAAAAAAAAAAGAAAAAAAAACUAACCAUUGACAGUUAAUUGCGUACUACGAAAGUAUACAACUAAUCUAUUUCUCUAUUGAAUCUUUCUUGUGGACCAAGAAUAAAAGCGUAGCUUGAUAAAGGCACUAUUAAACUUUGUACAACUAUAAAAUCUCGAAAGUUACCCAAAGUAUAAAUCAAACAACAUUGUUGUGAUUAUUAUUCUGCAUUUUCAUGAAGAGCAUGUCCGAACCUCAAACUUUUAACUAUUCUUGAUCACAGAUGAAACAGGAAGCUAAAAAACCAACUUUUUUUUUAGGGUGGAUCACUUAAAAAAUGGAAUGACAAUUGAUUUAGGGGUGCAAAGUUUAUUAUUUAUUGAAAGAUUUUCUUCAGAGCUCAGGCAACUUCAGCUGUCAGUAUUAUGAGGUCCAUUAAUUGUGGAUGAGAUACAACAUGUGGUAGUAGCUUGGUGGAAGAUUCCACUAACACAGUAACCUUGGAAAUUAGCUCUGGAAUGGGACCUGUCCCAGAAGUGUUUUUGCUGAUCUACUUGUAUCUAGUAUAGGCUUUGCUUUACUAUGUAAAUCUACAUUGCCCCCCCCCAAAACACACAAAACACCAAAAACGCCACCAAAAGAAAGGAUCAACUAAGCAAAUGCAUAUAUUCAUUUAGCCCAAUCCGCCAUAUUUUUUGUUUCAAGAAAGCUCCAAUGUGGUGGAGUACAACUGAACCACAUUCAAGAGUUCUAAGAGAACUUUCUAGUUUACAUUGGAUAUUAUGUGCACAUCAAAACUCCUUAAUCUCUAUUAACAAGAACAUGUUCACUAUCCAGGUUAGACACUCCAACAGGACUAGUAGCCUGCUUGCUUUACAGGUUUACAAUCAUAGCUGGUCUAUCCGCUUGAAAAUCAUUGAGAGCCUAGAUGAUCGUGAACCACACAGUAUAUCAAGAAAAAAAAAACACACACACACACACACAAUCACAGGUGCCUCUUUUUCCUUAGCACAAAAAAAAAUUCUGAUACAGAAAAAUUUAGAUGAGUUCGACAAAGAAAAAAGUGGAAUACAUCCCAACGUUCAAACACAUUUGCUUUAAAAACACUAAAGUUUUGGUUGACAUGAACAAGAUUUCAAGCACCUAAAUCAGUCUCAAGCAACUCAAUUGCAUUAAACAGGAAUCAGAUUUGGUGGAACCAGAUUUCAAGUGCCAUCAAGCAACUAAAUUGACAUCAAACAACCCAAUUGCAUUAAAAAUGAAGAGCAAACAAUUUAUUUAUACCUGACACAGAAGUUGCUUAUUUGCGCAAGUCUUUCAGCUGGUUAGCUAACUCAUCAUACAGGCUUCUUGUUUCUGUUUGUUGCUGUUGCAAGGUCUUAAUCAACUCUUGCUGAGCAGUGAAUUGUUGAGUUACUUCUGCAGCUCGUUUUUCUGCUUCAUCUGCUCUUUUUCGGCUGUCCUCAAUCUCAUGCCUCCAGCGUUCUACCUCAGCAGCUUGCUUCUUGGUUGCACUACGACCGCGGAUGUGUCCAGGUACGUAACCAAGUUCUUGCUCGCAUAUUUCUUUGCUAGUCAUUGAAGUUGUAGCCUGCAAUUCCCUCAUUUUGUCCUAGGCAAGUAAAAAAUAUGAUCAUUAUGUAGCUGGAAUGGAUGUCAAUAAUUUAAAAAUCCAUUAUCCAAGUGAAACAGCUCACCAAGGUCUCUUUUGCUUUGUCAUUUACCAGCCCCCCUGACUUCUUUGACUUUCGACUUAACUCAAACAUGACUAUCUCUGAAAGCUCGACAUCUUCUUUCCUUUUCUGUCCAAAUUUUCAAUUUUUUCAUUUUCAGUCAUAUGACAAAAAGGAUGUACAUGUACAACUGUUGGCUGGGUUUCAGAUUACCUUUUCCUCAACAACUCUUGCAAGCGAUUUUGUGCCAACAGUAGUGUAGCAGUCAUUUUUGGCACGAUUUUGCUUGUUACGUUCACUAAUUUUCUGCCACAAAUUAGUGAAAAUUUUAACUGACAAAGAUUAGCAAAUUUGUGAAGUGAAAUCUGAAAUUUAAUAAAAGGAUAGGUUAUUUUGACAAGCUAACCUUAAAUUCAUCAUUUUCAAAGUAGCUGACCAGCCACUUCCAAUCUUCUUCACUCACACCUUCAGGAACUUGCCUCAAUGCUUCUUGCCUUGAUUCAAAACUCUGGAAAUACUUGUGAAGCCGAUAUCGAUGGUUUCGAUAUUGUGUGUUUAACUGCCUAUUAAUAGCAGUUUUUGAGGUGAUGUGCUCUGGAAAUCGAAAGUCAUCCUACAAUAACAGUGCAAUCUACUUAAAACCAAGCAAAUCUAAAGCAGUAAAAUCUCUCAUACUUUCUGGAUGAAAUUAGAGUAUUAGCAGGACAACAAAUACCGUAACCGUGCUGUAUAUGCCUUCUCGGUCACCGGGAUUGAGAUGGGACCACUUUGGAACAUUAAGCCUAGCAGCCUUCCUAACAACACAACCCCCUUCUGUGAAAUGAAAGAUAACCACCGCUAAAUGUAUUAUAUAUAUAAACUAGAGAACUUUUAUCAUACAUUGUAAAAAAUUUUGGAUUUACCUUUAGUCUUUGCAAUUUUUACGAAACAAUGGCUUUCUCCAGUGGCUCCAAAAGUUUUAAUAACCAUUUCUUUUUAUUUUUUUGGUCCUAUGGGGGAAAGAAUAAACCAUUCUUUACAGCCAUAUAAACCCAAAAGGUCUAAAGAAAAAGCAAAAUUUCUGUUCGCUGGCAUUCUAACAUCUUGAUAACAAAAAUGAAAGAUAGGAGGCUUGGAUUGAGGACGGGUAAAAUCAUCUUGAAUUGUGCCUGGAACUCCAGGAAUAAUUGGAAAAGUCAUGCAUUUUUAAACACGUUAAUAUCAGGUUUAUGGGUUGAACUAGGUCUCUAGGAUUAUAACAAGGAUUAAUAUCUAUUUAAAUAUUACAGGUACAGAUAAGAACAUUUAUGAGUUAUCAGAGUUUGAAAAAGGUAAGAAAUUGAAAGAAGACUCCUUUCAAGAUUAAUCAAUCAAUUGACUCCAAAAUCCUCAUGAAUAAGAGUCAGCUUCUUCAAUGCAGAAUGAUCAGAGAUUACUCAACAGACCUAAAAGCUGCAAGGAAAAGACAGCACGUGCUUCAUUCAAUUCAAUCAACUCAGUUAUUUUAGACAGCAGAGUACCAGUUAUUAAUAGCUCUAGCAACAUUUUGGGUUCCCAAACAAUACGUCAAAACACUAAUAGGAAUUGUAACCAGAGUGAAGCAGACACCAAAUCUAACAAAGAAACACCAAUAUAAGGCACUGGAAUAAAUUCAACUACAGCAUCUGACUUAUCCAUGUAAUAAAAGACACAGGUGAUGAUCAAAUUUAAACAAAUGAUUGAUCUAUCAAUAUCUCUCCCCUCCAAAUGGAAAAAGCUAAUUAUGAAUGACAGGUAUCGCAUAUACUAUGUUAUGAACCUUGUGUAACAAAUUGCUAACUACUCGAAACAAAAUUUUUUACCGUUCGAAUCUGAACUUGAAUCUUCUAAUCAAAAUACAAUGCCAAACUCAGGAGGAUAAGCCUUGAUGGGUACCGACUACCAAGGUUGAAUCAAAAUUACUGCAUCUCUGAAGUCGGCGACACUAAAAUUCAGCAGAUCCAGGCGUUCGUGGGAAAGGUAUUGCAUCUCUUAUAUUAUCAAUACCAGUUGCAAAUUGCACUAACCUUUCAAAACCUAAGCCAAACCCAGCAUGAGGCACUGAAAAGCAAUUAAAGAACAAAACAGCAUGUUUAGUCAAGGUCAUUCAAAUUAACUCCACAAGGUACCCUGAAAACUAGCUUUCAAACUGAUUCCAUGCCAAGAGUGAAUGCAGCAUUUAAUAAGGCAGUGUAUUGGAACAUCAAUGAUAAAAAUUAGUAGCUGCAAGUUAUCAUCUGCCAUUUGAGACCAAGUCAAACCCCCCCCUUUUGGAAGAUUCACUAAUCACAAACGAAUAACAGGAGAAAAAGAACAACUAAAAAAUGUUGGCCUAAAUCAAUUACAACCCCCCCCCCGGGUGGCCUAAAUCCAUGAUUUCCUCAUCCGUACACAGAAAUUUCUCAAGAUACAAACUGAAAAUGCAACAUUUCAGAAGCCCAAAUUGCCUCGGAUAAUGGCAAGGAAAUGAAGCCUUUCGGGGGCAGGACAAAAGCCAUUGGAUAAUGAGCUAACAAAAAUAGGGGAAAAUUAAAAUGUAGGUUCGAAAAUGGCAAGGAAAUGAAGAACAAAGGGGGAAUACAGAUAUGAAAAUCUUAACUAUUACAAAAGAUUAACCAUUGUAUGACUAAACACACAUUGCACAACAACAUGUUAACGGCAAUUGAAACCCCAAAACAGUUUUCUGGCCAGUUCCCAAACGUGCAAAAUUCUAGUAAAGUGCAUGCUUGAUUACCAGAGAGAGAGAGAGAGAACCAGAGAGUAAAUUACAUUUAAAACAGCCAAAUAAAUUAGGCAAAUCAGUCAAGUUCUCUUCCCCUUAAGGAAGCAAUUAAAUGGCACGACAAAUUGUUUAAUUUCUCUUUCAUCCAACCAAAUUAAUGCAGUCAAAAAAUGUUCGCAUUUCAUAGCUCCUCAAAGAAAGCCGGUUCUGACCAUCCCUAACACUGUUCAUACUCCAGAUCGCAAGUGUUUCAGAGUAUUACCUUCCCCACUGCUAAUUAACAAUCUAGUUCAUAAAUUAGUCUUUACAAUAGAAGGCUGAGCAGCUUUUGAAAGCAAAAAAAAAAACACAUACCGCACAAUUAGCUGAAGAGGGGGUCGGAGAAAAGUCUAAGCUGAAGUCGCGGAACGAGGAGGGAGCUUGGAAGUGUUCUGACUUCGCUUCUUCGGCGAGCUUGACCUGAAGAUUGGCACUCGUCAAUGGUGCUUUAGAGGAGCAUUUUGCGGAAGCAGAAGGUGUUUGAGGUCCAGAGUUUUUCGGUGUUCACCAUAGAAAGGAAAGACUGAGAAUAAAAUUUGUCUAAGUGUUGGAAGAGAGAAGCGGCGAGACUUUUGUUUGUCUGUGAACAACCAAAAACGACGUCGUUUUGUAGAGAUUUCAGCCACCCGCCUCGCGCGUCUUUCAGAUUUCAGACUGGCGCUCUUUUUUUUUUGGAAUCUAAGCACGUCUUUGAGAUUCCAGGAUUCACGCCUUUAGCUUCAUACAUCUUUUUUCUUUUUUUUUUCCCUGGUCAAAUUUUUUUUUUCAGGUUUCUUUUUUCAUACUUAAUCUCUUUUGUUUUCCUUAAUCUCAUCUAUAAAUAUCAAAUAAAUUAUUUGAUAUUGGUUUCUUUUUUGUGCAUGUAUAUAUAUGUGUGCUUGUUUGUGUCUAUAUACAUCUUUUUGGGUUUGGACAACUCAAUAUACAAAUUAUUUAAGAAAUUACCUUACAAUAAAACUUACACAAUAAAACAUGUUUCAAAAAUUUAACAUGCAUAGAAUUGCUUAUAUACAGUAUAGCACUUCUUACUCAUGCUUAUCCUACUCUUUGUCUAUUACUUAGUUUUUAUAAUAAAUUAAAAGAAACAUGUAAUCAAAUAUUCUGUUAAAUGUGUUACAACUCUCAAUCUUAUUGCACGACAGAUAUUUUACUAAAUAAUUUUAAUUUUGUAUAUACCCAUUCCAUAUGAAAAUAUUUAUUACUUAUGAUGUAUUACACGUUAUACUAAUCUUUCACAGUGCUAACAUUAGACUACAAAUUAUAUUCAAUUAUACUUUUUCAAAUUAUUUCAGUUAUUGAUUUUUGGGGGUUGUUAUAAGUAAUAAUAAACAAUUCAUGAAAAAAAUUUUAUGCUCAGACAUGUCUAUUAUGUCAACUUAGCAAAAAUUACAAAUAUCUAAAACUAGUUUGUUAUUAUAUCAUUUGCAUUUUGCUAAUACAUAAUGAAUAGGGGCUAAAUUAUAAAAUUAGGGUGUCAUAUCUUCUGUGCUUUUGCUCAUAUAAAAGAAUUGGGGGCUAAAUAAUAAAAUUAGGGUGCCAUAGUAGAAUUAGUGAAAUUUGAUGAAAAUACUAUAGAAUUGCUUAUAUACAGUAUAGCACUUCUUACUCAUGCUAUCCUACUCUUUGUCUAUUACUUAGUUUUUAUAAUAAAUUAAAAGAAACAUGUAAUCAAAUAUUCUGUUAAAUGUGUUACAACUCUCAAUCUUAUUGCACGACAGAUAUUUUACUGAAUAAUUUUAAUUUCGUAUAUACCCAUUCCAUAUGAAAAUAAUUAUUACUUAUGAUGUAUUACACGUUAUACUAAUCUUUCACAGUGCUAACAUUAGACUACAAAUUAUAUUCAAUUACAUUUUUUCAAAUUAUUUCAGUUAUUGAUUUUUGGGGGUUGUUAUAAGUAAUAAUAAACAAUUCAUGAAAAAAUUUUUAUGCUCAGACAUGUCUAUUAUGUCAACUUAGCAAAAAUUACAAAUAUCUAAAACUAGUUUAUUAUUAUAUCAUUUACAUUUUGCUAAUACGUAAUGAAUAGGGGCUAAAUUAUAAAAUUAGGGUGUCAUAUCUUCAGUGCUUUUGCUAAUAUAAAAGAAUUGGGGGCUAAAAAAUAAAAUUAGGGUGUCAUAGUAGAAUUAGUGAAAGUUGAUGAAAAUACUGUAGUAUACAGUGAUGCAAAAAGUUGUCACAAAAUUGGAACCGGGUAGACUUUCAAUGACAACAAGUUAUGUUGUCACUGUAGAGAGAGCGUUUGUGACGACUUUACUUGAGUUGUCAUAAAAUCAUUUCCCGCGGCAUCAAAUGAGAUGCGCCCCAACUAUUUCGUGACGAGUUGAGAAUGACAACUUCCAAUGUUGUCACUGAUUAUGCUUGUGCUGUACUCAUCUGUGAUGACACCUAAUGUCGUCACUGAAUUAGGUUAUCUGUGACAAGAUUUUUGUUGUCACAUAAAUUUUUGUCACUGAAAAAUAUAUUUCUUGUAGUGAUGAACUUCAAUUUUGAACACUUUACACCUUAAACUCUUAAUUUCAAGCACUUUGUACCCUAAAUUCUUAAAUUUAUUUCAUUUAAUUUCAAUCAAUUAUUAUAUUGAUAAAAUUAAUGAGAUAAAGGGAGGUAAAAAUUAAUAGCAAUGUACUUUUGUUAUUAUAUUCUUAAAUUUGUUAUUGUAGUUUAUCAUGAUUUUCUUCAGGAAAAGACUUAAACCCACCUGCAAAGGCUUAAACCCCACCUGCACUAGGGUACAACAAACAAAGGUGAGUUGGAUAUACUUCCGUACGACUGCAGAACUCAUUUACACAAUGCGAUUUUGAUGCAGCAAUAAGAAAUUAUAUCAAACUUGAAAUCAGUCAUCCUUUGGGGCUCUAUAAAUACCAUCCUCCCUGUCAGUUACGGACACAUUCCUGCCUAGCUACUUUUAGUUUCAGCCAAACUACAUAUUCAUACCUAGCUGAACUGAAAUUAAACUUUCCAUGGCAUACCAGAGCGCCUACAAUAUGAAUUACCAGAUACUACUAUGCUUGAUACUCUUCUCCCUAGUCCUUCUCCUGCCACUGCCAUCCCAUUCUGCUGAUCCAAGCCCAUUGCAAGAUUUCUGCGUUGCAGAUCUUGAUUCCUCUUUAUACAUUAAUGGCUUUCCGUGCAAAAACC